GCCAUGUUGCUAUGUUGGUUGUCCCUACCUUUGAGACAUGCUCAAUUUGUUAAAUACUAAUCACACUACUUCAUCUCCACUUGAGUAAAUCUCUAUAAAAGUCAUCACACUACCUUUGUUUAUCCUAGUAAGUGUUAGUUUGGAAGUACUGCACAUACUUCUAUUGGCUUUUAAAUUAGGUAUGGUGCUUAGGUUAAAUAGCCUUCCUUAAUCUGAUUAGACAUGGAGUCUAGUUCGGUUAUUGAGCUAACAACUGCUUGUGUAGACAUUGGUAUAUUUUGUCGGACUAACCCCGGCAGAAGAACUUUCAAUAUCGAUUUGGGAAGUCCUGAGAUAAACUCACAUCGGAGAUGAAGAGAGAGACACAUCAAGUUUAACAAUUUACAUAAGGAAGACGUAGCUCAUAAGAGAUGAUCCAUGGAGGGUGCCACAAACACGAUGCACAAUCGCUAAGAAAGAGAAGUUUCCACAAGGUGAGAUGGUACCAUCACUCUUCAAUUAAGGUAACAUCUUAAGAUAUGUGGCUAUAAUUUUUAUAAGCUUUUCCUUGGUUCUAGCGUUCACAUAAAUAAAGAGACAAACAUGUAUGAUUUAUAACUCCAAAUUAACCAACUCAACUGAUUCCGCAUGUUUAGUUCUUUAAUUUUUGUUCCUAGUACUACCUCUAGGAUCCCACACUCCUAAUCAUAUCAGCUAAAAUAUUACACAUUCAAUCUUUGAGAGAUAUAAAGAAAAAGACAUAUACAUAGAUAGAUUAUCUUUCUAUAAGGUUGAAACGAUCUAAUCUGACAAACGUUAUAAGUGCUACACUCAUGAACUUAUCAUCCAUCAACUUUGUCUUGCUCACUAUGCUUAAGGUUAGAGAAGAACAAAUACACUUUUGGUUCUGUUGGUGUUUUCCACCAACAGGACCGAUGCACUUGAUCUCUGCCUUGUCUCUAUGAGCAGGUACACUUCGAGCAAAACAUGGAGGAGUUUUAUAACUCUCAGACUCUACCAAGUGAAGGACCUCUAUCUACGAGCACAAACACACUGAGCAGGAUACUGCCAACGCCGCACAUCGAACUUCUGGGCAAACGAAGAACAUGGGUGACACCGUAUUGAGAGGUGCAGAUGUCAAGGUCCACACCUGAAUCAAAUGACGCACCUAAAGAAUGAACACGGUGAGAAGUCUUGUUCAGAAGACUUAAAACAUUGAACCCUCGCCGAAAGGUAAAAUCGGUAGUUAUCCAUAUUUAUCCUUUCUGCAUUCCCUUUUCCCUUUAAUUACUUACUUUCCUUAAAUAGCUUAUUAGUUAACCAUGCUAUCUUGAAAAGAAAAUAAAAAAAGUUAAAAAACAGUAAGCCCCAUGUGAGUAUGCUUGUGGUAUAAAACCCAUAAGUACAUUUACUGUGGUGGCGUAAAAAUAAAAAUAUUCCUAUCCUAUAAAAAUGAAAAUAUAAAAAUAAAUUUAUGAUCCUACCAAAGAGAGUAUACAUUUACUGUGGUGGUGUAAAAAUAAAAAUAUUCCUAUCCUAUAAAAAUAAAAAUAUAAAAAUAAAUUUAUGAUCCUACCAAAGAGAGUAAUAUUUAUUAGAGGAAGCUCAACAUGAUAAAGGCAAAGUGAUUUUAUGCUAACACUUAACCAGUUCCACAAAGCUUUGUUGUCUAUUUGAGCUCCAUAGAAUUCAAGGAUCAAAGAAGACUAGUAGAUGGAGGACAUCCUAAUCGCUGUCAGGGUGCUUCCGACAUUCAAAUACACCUCCAUCACCUGCUAGCUACAUCAGAAGAAAUUACGUCAAAAUCCAGCUUGGUGGAGAGCACCCCCAUUUAUCUAGCUAAGUGUUUCUACUCGCGUUUAUACUUUACUCAAAUAAUAAAAAGAUGCAUAAUCAUAAAAACCCAAAUAAAGAUUUUGUGCUUAUAUAUAUCUUUGCUUAGUUUGCAAAAUAAAUAAAUAAAUAAAGUUUGCUAUGAACCCUCAUGAUAAGCUCUCACAUGGAAAUAAUGAAUAGUUGCUCUGCCAUGACUAGUUCUCAAAAUUGAAAUCUCUCUCAAGUUUAGGUAUGACUGUUAUGAAUUAAGAUUUGCUCUAAACCUGAACUUGUGGGAAGAGUACUUGAUCUAAGUCUAAGUCGUUAAUGGAUAUGAUAUGGGAAGGUUGAGCUGUUGUUUAUCUAUUCCUAGAGAUGCUAGAAUUCUGGAGAAUUUUAUCUUUGAAAAUCUUUAAAAUAUUGCAUGAUGAGUUCUUGUAUGAUGAGAGAUUAAAAUCCCACCACAGCCACAUAUACAUGCUUAUUAGACUAUGAACCGUACAUUUACAUUUUACUACUUAUGAGCAUUGAGUGUGGUCAAGUUAUGUAGACCCUUAGGAACUUGUCAUGCGGUUAAAAUCAAGAUUCACUUGCACGUUCACUCAUACAUGCUGCUUCUACUCUGGAAGUACGCAUCCACAUACAUCCACUCCUUUCCAUCUCCAGAUUCACCUAAAAUUAUUCUACUCCUAUCUAGGAGAAAAUAGCCAAAAAGAUUAUCCUAUCCCUGUUUUUCCCUAUAAAAUAAAUGCUCGAGAUAUUUUGGUUACUACCACUUGCUACAUUAUUCCACGAGGGUGAGUGCUCUGAAAAAAAAAGAAAAAAAAGUGAAUACGAGGAAAUAAAAAGGGGUAAGUGCCCGGAACCUCGAAAGAAAAGAAAAAGUGAGACGAGAGGUAAAAAUGGACAAGUGUCCGACAGUAGAAUUAGGGGUACAAGAUACCCACCUGAGAUAAAAGAAAAAGAAAAUAUAGAGCAUCUCAUUCCUCUCAAAAACCAUCAAAGUACAAGAAAGGUAUGUAUCCCCUCAAAAGAGCAAAAGUAGAAUUAGAAUUUCACCAUUAUUUUCACCAUCAUCACCAUACACCAUUCAUCCACCACACAAGCACAUCUUGAUUUGACUUAUUGACUUGUUUCUCUGGAUCCAUGGUUUGACUAUGCCUGUCUCCCACCUAUGAGCUCCAGAUAUCAAAACCUUGUUAGAGUAGGGUGAGAGAGAAGGCAUAUAUCAUCACUGCCUUGGUAAGGAUCCAGAAAUACCACAAAAGAGAGACUAGAGAGACUCAUACAAGGAAUCUCUGAGUUUUAUUUGAAAAUCUGCAAAAACUCCAGAGCUAUAGUUGAUCAAAGAACAAGAGACAUGGUGCUUGACUUGACCGUUCUAUCUUUUAACUGCUCAAGACACAAGUGACGGUUGCAAGCCCCAUGGUGGAAGGUAAUAUGAGUAAGUUUAAAUCUUAACAGUUUACCUUAACCUAGAGAUGAGAUCUUGUUUGAACGCAUGAGUACCUUUAAGGCAUAAAACCACUGCAAAAACUCUUGAGUCCAUCCUUGCUUAGGGACGAGCAAGAGGUAAGCUUGGGGGAGUUUGUUGACGGUCCUUAUGUAUCAAAUUUAAUCAUUAAAUAAAUAAAGAAAAGGAUCCAAAUGCAACCAACACCUAGACUUAGGGUUUUAUCUGACAGAAUUCCAAAAGAUUUGGCGUUUGUCUAUUUCUGCAGGGGGUUAUCAGGAAAUAUGGAGGAAAGGCCCACACGUCGGGUUUACAUAGAGAUAUUAACGUGCCGCACAAUUUUCUAUCAUCUAGAAGACUCCAGAAGCCACAGGAACAAACGGGAAGCCGAGCGGGCUCGGGGGCAGGGCGCCCGCCCUCUCCCCUUGGGCGCCCGCCCAGCUACAGAGUCCAAUCAGGACUCGUUCCACGGAUUACCCUCCACCGACCUAAAGGAUCAAGGAUAACCGUUCAAUCAAUGUCGGUUUGAUUCGACGGCCCAGAUUCACUUGAGGGGACUAUAUAAGCAGACCCCCUCGCCCUUGGAGGAGGCAACCCUUGAUCCCUAUUCAUUAUUCAUAGACAGAGCAAAAGCUAGGGUUUGGAGAUGAGAGCUCUCCUCUCAUCUCGAAACUAGAGUAGAUCUAGAUAGUAGCGAGAUGGAGAGCGAGGGAGGAUUGGAGGAGAGGCCGGCCUGUCGGUUCUUCCUCCGGUUGUACUUUGCCAUGAUCAAGCUCUAAUCAAGCUUGCUCAUGGGAUGACUCUAGUAAUCUACUUCUAUUUCAUUAUGCAAUUACUAUCCAUGUAUGUUCUGGUUCACAACUCUUUUGAGUACUUUAAUCUAUAGGACGCUAUAGGUGAGAGUUGUAGUAUAGGUGUAAGUGUGGUGCUUAGACCUAGAUUACCUAUGGAUAUCCCCUGUCUAGCUGGAUCGUGUGGUAGGCCGCGUAGGUGACAGUUGCGUUGGUCCCCUGUAGUCCACCUCUUGUUAGCAGGACGGGUAGGUUAUCGGCCUAUGGAUAAGCAUCCUUUGUGGUGUAUUCUUAUCACGUGGUUCAUCCCAGAUAUAGACAUACCCCUUUGAAGUAGAGAAACCAUAGUUAUCCUCUCUAUUCUGCUACCAUCGCCCAUAUACUAGAUUGCUCUACUCUCUCUUCCCAUAUUAUCACCCAUUGCUAUCUUACAUUUAAUAUUGUUCUUAUUCAAUUAUAUCAUCUUUCCUAUUUACACCUACCUAUCUAUCUAGGUUAAGUUAGAGCGUAGAUCAUUUCUCCCGUUUCCCUGUGGAUACGAUAAAACUUUUAACCGGGUAAAAGCUACAACGGUAUCCGUGCGUUUACGGAUUUAUCUGUGUGCGUAUAAAUACCAUAGUACACUCUAGUGCCAUGCUGGGGAUGACAACCUAGUUUUCAAGUGGUGUUAGCAAGUGUCAACAAACUCGAGGCUCCCGAACCAAAUCACCGUGGAGCGCGAAAUCGGUGAAACAAGAGUGGCCAUCUGGAAAGAGAUGGGAAGUUGGUGAAAAAACACGCAGGACCCCUACCUGGCGCGCCAACUGUCGGCGUUUUCCCCUCGGGGGGUCACAGCAACGAGUAAAACUUGUGUGUGUGUUCCCCUUUCUAGAUGGUGAUGCAAGAAAGACACAAAGAUUUAUCCUGGUUCGGGCAAUAGAAGGCCCUACGUCCAGCGGGGGGGAUGUUUCUAUUAUCUUGCACCUAAGUGCUUGUACAGGGGUGAAUACAAGUCGAUAUUGUGGAUGGAUGGGGAUGAAGUGUGAUUGCUCUUCUACGUAUCUCUUGUCCCUCCUAUCCUUCCCUGGGCUUCCCCUUUUAUAGUUCCAAGGGGAGACCUAGGUUACAUGCGUAGGUGAUAGAGUAGGGGUCGAUAGGGGUAUGGCACGCUGACCUACUCGAGGCUUCCGUACCGGCGUGGCCUCGAGCCGUCUUGUUAUACAGUACUUGGGUGAUGAUUACGCGUGCCCCUGAAUUUGGCUUCUACGCGCUGUCCUGAACUGGCUUAUCCGUGGCACGCUUCUAUGUUGUAGCUGCAGUCGCGUCAGAGUGGUUGAGGUGCCGUCUUUCAUCGCCCGGCUCUUCUCUGGGAAGGAACAUGCCCGCUCGAGGGUCGGGUGCCGCACAGAGUCCUGCUGAACGGAGCGCUGACUUUGGGUGUCUCGAGGGGGUCCUGACGAGACGUUCCGACCGUCUCCCUGCGCCCUGCCGUACACUGGCUCAUCUGGUGGGUAAGGCUGCAAAAAGGAGCGAUUGGACGGGUGCUUGUUCCCUAUCAUGCUUCCCGUGACUGUCGGGUUUGGUGAGAACGUGGCAGGCGCAUUAAAUGCCCUGGUUCCUAUGCCCGCGUCAGGCGGCGGGUGGCGUCCUUGCGCUCGAGGCUAACUGGUUCGUACGAACAUGUUCCGUAUUCGAUGGUUGCCGUCGAGUCCUAGUCAAUUCGCACGACCCCCUUUCCGUGUUCGAGGCUAUGGUCGUCAUCAUAUUUUGGCCGUCGCGCGUGAGGACGGGGGGCGUCGAGUCAGGGGUGUUGAUACCCUCGACACUUGGUCAUGCUGUUUUUUAUCGCAGAUUCAUAAAAGAUUUUUCAUUUAUUGCUAGACCACUUACUCUCUUGCUAGCCAAGGAUGCUCCUUUCGAAUUUGAUGAUGCAUGUCUAACAUCUUUCAAUUUAUUAAAGAAUGCACUCAUCUCUACACCAAUCAUUCAACCCCCUGAUUGGUCGUUGCCUUUUGAAAUUAUGUGUGAUGCUAGUGAUUAUGCUGUGGGGGCAGUUUUGGGACAAACUAAAAAUAAGAAGCAUCAUGCAAUUGCUUAUGCCAGUAAAACUUUGACAGGAGCUCAACUUAACUAUGCAACCACUGAAAAUGAGCUUCUGGCUGUUGUCUUUGCCAUUGAUAAAUUUAGAUCUUAUUUAGUUGGAGCUAAAAUAAUUGUUUACACUGAUCAUGCUGCACUAAAAUACCUGCUCACUAAAAAAGAUGCUAAACCUCACCUGAUUAGAUGGAUCUUAUUACUUCAAGAAUUUGACUUAGAAAUAAAAGAUAAAAAGGGAGUAGAAAAUUCUGUUGCUGAUCACUUGUAUAGAAUGUAUUUUAAGAGUCCGCUUGAAACCCCCAUCAAUGAUUCACUCCGGGACGACAUGCUCUAUGAGAUUAAUAGGUUUGACCCCUAGUAUGCAGAUAUUGUUAAUUUUAUGGUUUCAGGGUAUGUACCACCAGGAGCAAACAAGAAGAAGCUUAUUCAAGAAAGUCGUUCACAUAUAUGGGAUGAGCCAUACCUCUUCCGAGUAUGCUCUGAUGGCUUACUCAGGAGGUGUGUGACCACUGAGGAAGGAUGGAAGAUCAUCGACAGAUGUCAUUCAUCACCAUAUGGAGGAUUAUGGAGCAUUCCGUACACAUUCAAAGAUCUGGCAGUGUGGAUUCUACUGGCCUACAAUGUAUGAAGACACGAAGCAAUAUAUCAGAAGAUGUGGGCCAUGUCAAAGGCACGGAAACAUAAACACAAGAGAUGCCAUGCCACUCACCGACAACCUUCAGAUUGAGCUCUUUGAUGUCUAGGGAAUAGACUACAUGGGUCCAUUUCCUCCAUCAAAGAAGUGUGAGUACAUCUUGGUGGCAGUUAACUACGUCUCCAAGUGGGUAGAGGCAUUACCUUGCAAGCAUGCCGACAACAUUAGUUCAAAGAGGAUGUUUGAAGAAAUUAUAUUUCCAAGAUUUGGAGUUCCCAGAGUAGUGAUAAGUGAUGGAGGAGCACACUUCAUCGACAAACGCUUCAAGCAAUAUCUAUCAAAACAUGGAAUCCGUCACAAUGUCGCUACCCCCUACCAUCCUCAGACAAGUGGCCAAGCAGAGACUUCCAAUAAGCAAAUCAAGAAUAUUCUUCAGAAGACAGUGAAUGAAAUGGGAACGGCAUGGAAAGACAAGUUACCCGAUGCACUCUGGGCAUACCGGACAGCAUACAAUACCCCAAUUGGAAUGUCUCCAUACCAAUUGGUGUACGGGAAGACUUGCCACCUACCUGUUGAUCUAGAGUUCAAAGCACACUGGGCCAUAAGAAGAUGGAAUAUGGACCUAGAUGUCGCUGGAGAUCAUAGAAGAAUGCAACUAUCAGAAUUGGAAGAAUGGCGAGAGAAAGCAUAUCAAAAUUCGAAGAUCUACAAAGAAAGAGUUAAAAGGUGGCAUGACAAGAGGAUCAAGAAGAAGGAGUUCACACCCGGAGCUAAGGUAUUACUUUUUAAUUCUAGGGUGAAGCUUUUCGGGCAUGGAAAACUCCGAAGUAAAUGGGAAGGACCAUUCAAGGUAAUCAAUUCAUCAUCCCACGGAGCUAUCACACUUCAAAAUGACGAAGGUACGUUAUUCAAGGUAAAUGGUCAACGUCUUAAAUUAUUUUUAGAGCCCAAUAAAGAAUUAGAAGAAAUAGAUGUAAUCCAUUUUUACCUUCCCAUGGAGAAUUAGACCCCGACCUUUUUAAUCUGACAUUUUUGGGUCACACAUAUAUUUUCCUAAUUAAGUCUGCAUCUAGAAACACGCUCGAGGAAGCGGGCCCACAGAGGGGCUAGACACAGGGCGGGCGCCCUGAUGAAGAGGGCGGGUGCCCAGCCCCUGACUCCUCUCGGUCCCAAUUUCCUCCGUUAUGGAAAACACACUUAUGGUAAUCCGAAUAAUCCUUCAGAUGGAAAGUUUCGCACGCACAUCGAUGGGAGUAACCCGAACAACCCCUAGAGGCACAUUUUGACCCCUAUAUAAACAGACCCCUCACGUCAGUUUUCAAACACCUAUCUAUCCAAGCCUUCUCUUCUUCUUCAAUUAGAGCUUGCUUAGUUCCCCGCUGCUUCAAUGGCCGAAGAGUUCCAUGAUGAUUGGGAAGUCGUACCCUACGACCUCAACAAGAAGCCUAAGGAAGACCCCGACGCCCAUGCUCUCGUCACGGCCAACCUAGAUCGACAGCUAGAAGCCAUGCCAUUACGUCAGCGCAGCUCCGCCCAAUCCUACCAUGCUCAACCACUUCUCACCGCACCGCCACCACCCCUACUUCUCAAGGGACCGUCAGCCAAGAAGGAGACCACCAUGAAGGUGCCAGCCGGCACAAGGAUCCUUCCACCCAGACCCAAUGAGAGGGUCGUUGGAGUCAAGACCAACCGGAGCGGCAAGAUCAGCAGCAUCUGCUACACUAUGGAGGAAGAGAGGCCUUACUUUGAAGGGAUUAUAGCAGCCAAAGUCCGUUUCAUCCCUCCAAAGGCAGCCCCGAAGCACGCUCUCAAUGCUCUUGAGACACCUUCUAAGCGUCGCAAGACUAUAGUAGAUAUUGAUGAGGACGUUCGUAGGCUAGACAGGAUCAUCAUAGAGCUCCAGUCCUCGGUUAAUUCUAUCACUAGGCAGCUCUCUAACCAGAACACCAUUAUACUAGGCCUUAGGCAUGAUCUUGCUAGUGCCAAUAAGAAGAUUAGGGAGUUAGAGCGCCGCUAAGUUAUCUAGAUUAGACCUUGAGGCAAUGCAUCUUAGUUAUUUAUCUUUAAAUUCGGUUUAAAUUUUACUAUUAUCGUCAGUUUGCUACUAGUCAUUUGUAAUAAAUGCCUCAAGAUUAAUAAAGAGUAUUAUUAUUAUUAUGUAUUGUGUGUCUCUACUUUAUUUUCGUGUAAGAAAGCAGAAAACAAGUAUGGGGACGAUCCCUCGACACGCCAAACACACUCCGACUAUACCACUCCACGAUUCAGGUACAUACUCUGCACACUUUACUUUACACAUACACAUAUAUAUCUUGGAUUAUGAAGAAUACUGUCUCCGACAGGAUAAAUUAAAAAGAUCAAAUUGUUUCUAAUCAUGAUUAAUCUCACUCUGUGAUAUUUCCUAAAAACUUGCAACUAUUGAAAAUCAUUUUAAAACCCUGUGCUGCUUAAGUCAUUGUGAAAUGUGAGAUGGUAGAGUAUGAGUUUCUUAUUCUUGAUAUCAUUGUUGCUUGGAGAAUUUAUUCAAAAAUUCUAGCUACCAUCCUCAAUGUUUUAUAUGCCUGAUAAACCUGAAAAUAUUAAUUAUGAUUAUAAAAGCUAUCUACUCUGUAUUGAGUUUGUUCAAAAUGAGUUAGACCCUUGUUGAGAGAUUUAUCAUGCUCCUAAGAUCAAGACAUCUAUUCAGAAAGAUUCACUCUUCUGAAGUAUUAUUGCAUUAGAGGCAUGGGCUGUGCAAAAAUAAAGAUAUUUCGAGGAAAUAAAAAGGAGCAAGUGCUCGACAACCUCGUAGAAAAAUGGACAAGUGUCCGGCAGUAGAAUUAGGGGUACUCGGUAUCCACUUAAAAAAAGAAGAGAGUGAAAAAAAUGAUAGCCCCAUGGUCCAUCUAAUAAGCAAUAUGCCAGUAAGAGUUGACAAGUUUUUAAUUGUCAAAAUCUUUGAUCUAAGAGUAUGACAUUCCUCUCCUCGGAUCUCGUUUUGAUCAGGCAAUAAAUGCAAGGUAAGUAUGCUUGGGAAUUUUUGCAAAUUAAAACAGCCUCAGUAAGAUAUACAAAAGAUAAUGAGUGACCUGAGAGAACCUAUGAGGAUAAAGGUAUGCUAAAUUUCUUUUCAAAAAUAUACAAAAACUCCAAGUAACAGGAUUGAGAAGAAAGGACCUCUACUUUUAACCAUAUAUUUUCCUGACUAUGGUACACACUGAAUUUUUACAACACCCUGCAGGUAUGAAGAAAAUGUUUUACAAUGUUUUAACCCCAGAUGUUUUUCUUAACCAUCCUUUUCUCGAGGACGAGUAAAAGCCUAAGUAUGGGGGUAUUUGUUGAUGGUUCUUAAGUAUCAAUUUUAAUUAUCAAAUAAACAAGAGAAAGGACCAAUAUGCAAACAACACCUAGAAUUAGGGUUUGAUCUGACAGAAUUCCACGAGUUUUGUUGUUUAUCUGUUUCUGCAGGGGGUUAUCAGAAAAUAAGGAAGAAAGGCCCACAUGUCGGGAUUACAUAGAGAUAUCAACACACCACGCAAUUUUCUACCAUCUAAAAGCCUCCAGAAGCCACGAGAACAAAGCAGAGGCCGAACGGGGCCUGGCCCAGGGCGCCCGCCCCCCUUUGGAGUCCAAUCGGGACUCUCUUCGCGGAUCAAGCUCCACCGACCUAAAGGAUCAAGGAUAACCGUUCAAUCAAUGUCAGUUUGAUCCGACGGCUCACGUUCACCUGAGGGGACUAUAAAACCAGACCCCCUGGCCCCUGGAGGAGACAAGUUCAUCAUAGAGUUGGGAGGAGCCCUCGAAGGAUAACCUCUCCUCUCUUCGCGUAGAGUUUAGAGUAAUCAUCUCUAGCGUAGACGUGGUGUUUGGGCUAGGAUACUCAUAGAUAUCCCCUGACUAGCUGGACCGUGGUAGUAGCGAGGAACGUGACAUUUCUAAGUUACCUUUGCAAUCCAUAUCUCGUUAGCAGGAAGGAUAGGGUUUAUAGGUGCGGGUUGAACAUCCUCUGUGGUGUCUAGAUUCCGUAAGCUUCCCCAUUAGAGCAGUAGAUUAUCCUUACCAAGGUUAGAAAGAGAUUACGGUUGUAGUCUUCUCUAUAUAUCACUCACAUUGAGAAACAUUCUUUGUAGCCUAAAGGUUAGUAGUAAUAGACUGGGUUAGUCAGAUGCACUCUUUCUCCUAGUGGUAAAAAUAUAAAUACGAUACUCUCGAUAACCUCCCAGGUGAAGUGCUCACCGAUAUCCGUGCGCUUGCGGAUCAAUUCCUUAUUACAUUCCCAAAUAUCAAUAGCGCCGUUAUCAGAAUUAGAAAACUAAGUCUACUUUUGGUAAUGACGUUAAGAAUGCCCAACAAUGUAUAUGAUGUAUAAUGAGAUAAUAAGAACAUCUCAUGUUGGGUCAGUCCUGCCCCAUGUCAUACAUGUGCCCACAUUAUUAGUUUGACAUCUCUAUGUCUAUGACUUGUGAAACAUAGUCAUCAACUAAUUCAUGUGCUAAUCUAAUAUUCAUGUGUGUCCUCACACGAACUCUGAUCAGGGACAACAUUAGAAUAACCAUACAAGUAAAAGAGUUUCACAAACAAUUCACAUAAUUGUCAAUCAAUACAAGUUUGUCUACAAUGGAUUUUCAUCGAACUCAUAAUGUAUGUCAUGGAUACAAUCAUAAUAUCAUCAUCUAUAUGAUUACCUCUAGGGCAUAUUCCCAACACUUUUAGCAUAAAUGAUUAUAACUGAGCAAGCAAUCGACGGAUCCAAGACCAUAAACUAGUGCAGAUGAACAACCAAUUGUCAGAUCCAACAUCAUAAUCAAACCAUAGAAUGAAAGCAAGCGGGGACGGGGAGGAUUUCACCUCGAGUGAGCCGAAGGGGAGGAGAGCCUACUCAAAUCGACAAGAAAUCGAUAGCAGACAUGCGCAGAUCUGGAGGACGAGGUACAAGAAACCCUCACUCCAAGACUAGCAUCACCACAACAGCUUGGAGAGGAAGGCGAAGGAGGGAGUGUAGGAUCUCCUAGAAGGUAAAGGAGGCCUAGAGGGGGGGUGAAUAGGCCUCUAAAAUUUAUCUCGAAGCUCUGUUAGAACAUAUGGCGGCACUGCCGGCCUACAACAAAUAUUCAGAUAAUGACAAUAUUUCACAGAAAGUAUUCUGAAUCUAUGAACUAUCUAAUCCUGCAAUCUCAACACAAGAUCCAGCUUGAAGACUGAAUACCACAGAAAACUCUCACAAGGCUAGAUCGAGUAACCAAACCCUAAUAUGUGUCAAACACAAGAAACAAACUAAUGUAACACAAGAGACUCAGAGAUUUAUCCCGUGGUUCAGCUCACCACAAAGGCUUGCCUAUGUCCACGUUGUUCAGGAAGCCACCAAAGGCUUAGGCUUGCCACAAAGGCUUGCCCUACCCUCGUUCUCAAAUCAAGAGAGUGAACUCUUGAGGUGAGGGGUAAUUUCUUAGCUGCAAGAAUGAGGUUACAAACCUCCCAAGGUUGCCACCCAAGGGGACAAGCUCAAGGGUGACGGCUAGCCGGCUAGGAGCAAGCUCCAAAAGUAACAAACCCUAGAACCGCUGGUCAAACAUGAACCAAAUGCUCUUAGACUUUAGGAAUCAAUGGAUGUACUCUCCAAUCGAGUUUUGCUGCCUUUUCUCUCAAGGAUUGAUGGUUGGAAUCAAGGAUUUGCUUGAGGGGUGAAGGAGCAACAAUGGAGGGAGAGAAAGAGCAUUGGUCUAUCUAUCUGCGAGAUGUGUCAAGUGAGGUUGAAGAUGACCGUUGUGGGAUAGGUCUAGAGGUAAAAGUACCCCCUAGGUCCCAACGGUCUGUAAUGGGCGGCACUGCAGCCCUGGCCAGAUCAGGUAUUAUGUGGAACUAUUUUGCAGGCUGCUUUGGCUAAGAGAGAGGAUGUUAAUCUAGGAAGAUGAGCAUUUGGUUGCACAGUUGACCAACUGUUCUAGAAUUCCCCUUUAUAGUACGACUUUUCCUAAACUCAAUAAUCAAAAAUAAAAUAAACAUAUAGCUUCCUUGAGUUUGGAUCAGCUCACAUUCACACUUUUGGAUACCUGCAACCUGUUCAUCAUUCUCAAUAUUUGAUUCCCUGCUUAUCAUCUCGAUAAUCUCAUUAGUCCUAUAAUUUGAUGGUCAUUAACACCAAAACUCACAAUAGGACUUGAUUCCACUUACAGGGAGCACACCACCGCCAUAGAGCCUGGCAGCAGAGGGAGCGGCGGCACACCGACCGGAUCCAAAUAGGGGAAAUGGAGAAGAAGCCCAAAGACGACCGCAUCACUCACUGACCUCACCGCUACCACUACUCAACGUAGCUGGAGCGAGAACAUGAGAGCAUGAUGAGAAGACCACGACGAGAGAGAGGAGGAGGGGGUUAUAAAGGCGAUAGAUUUCGACAGCAAUGGACGCGUGGAAGUUUCCAUCUUCCCACGCUCGCCUGCCUAAGGUCAACCGCCGCCACGAAUUUUGCCCGCGCAAGCUCAGGUGGAGCCUCGACCUAAGAAAACAAAUGGGACAAGUAUUUCCUAGGAGACAAGAGAGAGAAGGAAUAAUGCAUUCCAUGAGCCUGACCAAAAACUAGGCAAAAUGUAUCAAACUGGAGAAGUUGUAGCUGAAGGGCCUGGCUAGAGAUUUUUAGCCCGUAUCAAACGCACCCCCUAUUGUCGUGGACACAAUUGCGAGAAGCCAUCACAACCCACUGUCGUUGCCGCACAAAGUAGCACUGCCAACACAACACUACAUCUUGUUCUGGAUAAGAUUGUAAUAUCUUUGAGAAUUUUGUUUGAAAAAAGUGAAAAUCAUGGCAAGUUGCUUUACCUAUGUAUUUUGUGUUGAGUCUCACUCUAGUGAGAAUUUUCAUGCUCUCAAAAUCAAGUUCGCAUAUACUCCACCUCAAAGUAAGCAAUUGCCGUCCCAUUCUCCACCAGAUAAAGACUAAAGAUAAAGAUCCCUCUUCACAAAGUUUUGGAAACCUGUAUGGGCUAUGAAAAUAUGAGAAAAAGAGAACAUGAGAAAUAUGAGAAAAGAAAAAUGAAUGGGAAAAGAGAAAAGUCCAUGCUUUCAAAAUAAAUGGAGAGGGAUCCUCUAAAUAAAAGAGUCAACAGUCCUUCCAUCUUCGACACACCUGCACACCUAGAUUGAAAGAUUAUAUUUAUCACAUCAUCAUCAUCACACUAUAAAAAAGAGAAUAAUUUUAAAUCAAUUUUUGAAGCCUUAAACGAAUUCAAAUAUAAAAGUUUUUAACUACAAAUUCUCCACCAAAUAAAGACUAAAGAUAAAGAUCCCUCUUCACAAAGUUUUGGAAACCUGUAUGGGCUAUGAAAAUAUGAGAAAAAGAGAACAUGAGAAAUAUGAGAAAAGAAAAAAUGAAUGGGAAAAGGGAAAAGUCCAUGCUUUCAAAAUAAAUGGAGAGGGAUCCUCUAAAUAAAAGAGUCAACAGUCCUUCCAUCUUCGACACACCAGCACACCUAGAUUGAAAGAUUAUAUUUAUCACAUCAUCAUCAUCACACUAUAAAAAAGAGAAUAAUUUUAAAUCAAAUUUUGAAGCCUUAAACGAAUUCAAAUAAAAAAGUUUUUAACUACAAAGUUGUAUAACUUCUCAAGAUCUACAACAUUUAUUUUGAUCAUUUCUUCAUUUGACAAAGCCAAAAUAAAUUUGUUUAUAAAUUUUAUAUCUCUCUCUUAUAGUUUAUGAAACUAUCUAGAAGUAAGCAAUUGCCGUCCCAUUGUCCACCAAAUAAAGACUAAAGAUAAAGAUCCCUCUUCACAAAGUUUUGGAAACCUGUAUGGGCUAUGAAAAUAUGAGAAAAAGAGAACAUGAGAAAUAUGAGAAAAGAAAAAAUAAAUGGGAAAAGGGAAAAGUCCAUGCUUUCAAAAUAAAUGGAGAGGGAUCCUCUAAAUAAAAGAGCCAACAGUCCUUCCAUCUUCGACACACCUGCACACCUAGAUUGAAAGAUUAUAUUUAUCACAUCAUCAUCAUCACACUAUAAAAAAGAGAAUAAUUUUAAAUCGAAUUUUGAAGCCUUAAACGAAUUCAAAUAAAAAAGUUUUUAACUACAAAGUUGUAUAACUUCUCAAGAUCUACAACAUUUAUUUUGAUCAUUUCUUCAUUUGACAAAGCCAAAAUAAAUUUUUUUAUAAAUUUUAUAUCUCUCUCUUAUAGUUUAUGAAACUACAGAGAGAUAUAUAAGAUUUUAGAAAAAUAUUAGAAUCACCAUGUCGGAUAAACAAAUGAAAAAAUAACUAAAAUAAACUCUAUAGAUCUUGAGAAGUUAUGAAACUUUGCCAAGUGUAUUUGGGCCUUUACCGAGUGCCACAGACACUCGGCAAAGCAUCAGUAUCCCGUAGUGGUAUAACCCUUACCACAGCCGCAGUAGAAAAAGGGGGAAAAGCUUAGGCCUCUCCGUAUCCUCACUGUAUCUGUGCCCUUGUCGCCUUCGUCUAGAUCACAAAUGCCGCCGCACGGUCUCGUCGAACUGCGUCCUACCGGCCACUAGGGCUGCCCGGCGACAUCCUCAGUCUUCUAGUGAAAAGGUCAUCCUCAAGCUAUCGCGCACACAAGCCAGCGGGUGCCAUGCAUGCCCAUAAAUCCGGAAUACAUCCUUUGUAGCUACUAGCUACUGCUUUGUAUUUUGAUAUUUGAUCGAUUUCAUUCUCCAUCCAUUCCAUCUCAUGAAAGUUUGAUUCUUUUUAUUUCCGGGGAGCUUGGCGAGGCGCGCCGGUCAAGGAAAACGUCCCGACAAGGCCUCCUCCCCGUGGUGUUGCAGCUUCUGCAGGCAAAAGGUAGCAGAGUGACGACAUGUCCGGGUCUCCGAAGACGCCGCACUCCUCCCAGGAAUGGUCGUCGCUAUCGUCAUCAAAGGAAAACGGCAUGACGCGGUCAAGGAGUAGAGCUCGCACAGCGCGGUACCGCAGCUCGAACUGCAAGGGCUUGGUGGAGCACCUGAGCUGGUAGUGGUAUUUGACAUAGUUUUUAGAAACACGUGCGUGACACACGUGCAUAUUUGCUAGUCAAUAAAAAGAUUAAAAGAUUGUAUGGUAUAUUCCUCUAUGGUACAGUUAUGACUUAACAAGAUAUGCAACACAUACUUGAGGAUUUAUCUGCUCAAGCUCCACAUAGGCAAUAGCCAUAGGAUCUUGAGGUAACUAUUGUGAAACGACGUCUAUUCUCAAUAGACAUCCAUUAACUGUUGUGAAACGCCAUAGGAUCUUGAGGUAACUGUUGUGAAACGACGUCUAUUCCCAAUAGACAUCCAUUAACUGUUGUGAAACGUCCGUACGAGUAGUUAGGAUUAGUGUUAGAGAUUAGCAGUUAAUCAUGUCACCAAGAGCCUAUCUUUUGAUGAAUAGUUGUGUCUCUUAGAGACAUCUCUUCACAUGUAUAUAUUCUAUGAGAUCAAUGUGUUGAUGCAAAAACGGAUCUGCAAACACAAAGGGCUAAUACCCGAUUCAAACGUUAAGGCGUGCCAGCCGAUUUGACCUUACUAUCGGCAAAGAUGAUAACUCGAAUACUUUGGUCCCGACAACAGCGAUGCGCCCGGAUGUCACGGCCAAGAGGUAUUCACGCGGAACUUGAGAAUACGCCAAACUUAAGUCGACGAACUCCUAAGAACUCGUAGUAAAAGGAAAAUUUGACAAAGUCGUCGAAAAAGUAGAUGCUGGAAUAUGAGUAAAAACUUGUGUUUGAUUGAUUGAUAGAUUAUUCAUUACAAGGCCGUAGGGUCUACAUUUAUACCCUGCUCAAAGAGCUACAAUCAGACACGACUAGGAUUCGAAUUCCAAAUUAAACAGAGCCUGUAUACAAAAUGAAUCUAGAUAACUAAGUAAAAUACAAAAUUAUCUUCCCGUAACCGAUCAGGACACCACCACGGGUCAAUCGGCAACUCCUGCAGAGCCAUCGGCAACCUCCCUGCUAUCGCCAUCGGCAAACAUUGAUACUAGUCAUCGGUUAGGAAUGUGCUAUCACUUCCGGACUUAGCCAUAUCCAACCGCCCCUUCAUCGGCAACUUUCUUCAUCGGCAACGCUUCCAGAGUCUAGUUACCGUUGCUCCGCCUGCCGAUCUUGUACUCUACCGGUUUCUGUGCGCGUGUCCAAAAAACGGUGUCAACACAUGCCCCCCAGUUUCGGAGUAUGAAAUCCUUAAUGCUCCAAAAUUGUCUGCAUUAAUGAUGCCUUUCUAUAGUUAAUCUUCCCCCAGUAUCUCCAAUCCAAGUGGAGUCUUCUCCUUCUUCUCCAGAAGCUCAGACAUAGCAGAUACCUUCUCCUCAGCCACAAGAAGAACCUCACGCAGAAGAACCCCAGCCAGAGGAACCUCAGCCGGAAGGCACAUCGGCUGACGUACAUGAGCAAACUGCCGAUCCAGGAAGUUCAAUUAUAGCAUCGGUAGUUUCCUCCAUCCAAAUAAGUACUGUUCCUCCUCAAGGUAACAUAUUCUCUAGGAAAUCAUUGCCGAUGAACUUAUUUUCCCCGUCUUGUAAUUAUUUCUAUUAAUCUUCCAGCUGACAUAGUCUCAUCGGCAAUUCCAGCCGAUCAGCCCGUGGUUCCAUCGGCAUCAUCUAGUCAGAGGCGAGAGAUGGCCCUGAAGCAAGUAAGUUACCCAAUCUCUAUCUGCAUCAUUUAUCAAUGCUUGAUCAUAGAGUAACUUAUUUUAUCUUCCUUUUCCGGAAUAGGAUUCUCCUGACAGCCUAUUCUCCUUUGCCAUCGACAUCUCUGAGGAUGAAGGCUAGGAGGCAAGUUCUUCUCAAGCAGUCAGAAUUACAUCGGCAGAUAUCAGGGCAAAGUUAGAAGAAUUAUCAGCCCUCCUUCAUCAAGACAUAGCCCAACUGGUUGAUGACUCCGACCCGGCCAAGACCUUGUUCAAGACCCUCAGAGGCCAAAUUCCUGCCAAUGCCGAAGAAAUCCUUUUUCAAGAUGCACAUCUAGAGAGCUGUCAGCUGCAAUACCAAAAGGCUACCCAGCGUCUUACCGAUAGAGUUGCUCAGGCUCAGCUUUCUGAGGAGAUGAUGAAAGUGAAGCUCCAUGCCGAUGAGAAACACAAGAACAUCGGCAUCUUGAAGUCCUCAGGAGAUGCGCUGAAGCAUAAGAUCUCUGAUUUGUCAGCAAAAAGAGAAGCCCUAUUGGCAGAACUCAAGCAAGUAGAAGAAGCUUUGUCCCAAGCUCAACAAGAGGAAAGCCAGCUGCCUGAGACGAUCAAACUUCUUGAACAAGAGCGAAAUGUUCAUGGCCGCAAAGCAUUGCAGAUGAAGAAGAAGCUGAAGCCAGUGGAGGGUUCUACCGAUGAUGAUGUGAAAGAGAUAGAAGAAGCCAACUAGAUCCGUCUGCGUGCCAUAUCGACGAUCUAGGCGCUGUUGAACAUAUGAACUCUUCAUCGGCGGUGUUCUUUGCUUCUUCAUUCUAACCAUUUUGGUCUAGCCGAUAGGAUCGUUAUCGGCACCCGUUUAAAACAUUAAGUCCGGUUCCAGACACAGUUUGAUCCAGCCGAUAGAAAUGUUAUCGGCAUUUAAACUUCUACGCAUCGACCCAGAUGCUUGGGUAAUAUUUUUUUAGAUAUUUACCAUUUAAUUCCUUGGGAAAUUUGACUCCUUUGAGAGUUUCUAAGAUAUAAGCGUUUCCAGGAGCCGACCGAUUUACUCGAUAGGGACCUUCCCAAUUAGGAGACCACUUCCCGAACUUUGAACUUUUAGCCCCGAUCGGUAAAAUUAGUUUCCAUACUAAAUCUCCAUCGGCAAACUCCUUAGGUUUUAUCCUCUUAUCAUACCAUCUGGAAACUCUCUUCUUAUUCUCUUCUAUACUUAUCAAAGCCUUCAACCGAUGCUCCGCUAGAUCAUCCAACUCGUCUGUCAUCAAAGUAGCAUAAUCAUCGGCAGUCAAUUGGUUUUGAAAAGAUAGUCGCCUAGAUCCAGUCUUAAUCUCCCAAGGUAACACUGCAUCGUGCCCAUACACCAAUUGAUAAGGUGAAACUUUGGUCGAUCCAUGGCAAGCCAUCCGAUAUGACCAUAAAGCUUCAUUCAACAACGUAUGCCACCUUCUAGGGUUUUCUUCAAUCUUUCGUUUAAUAAGCUUGAUAAUUCCUUUGUUAGAUGCCUCGGCCUGCCCAUUAGCUUGAGCAUAAUAAGGAGAAGAAUUCAACACUUUAAUUCCCAUACCGAUUGCAAACUCGUCAAACUCCCCCGAUGUGAACAUAGUACCCUGAUCGGUAGUAAUCGUCUGAAGAAUACCAAAUCGGUAAAUAAUAUGCUCCUUCACAAAAUCAAUCAUAUUGGCCGAUGUAACCUUCUUCAAAGGAAUUGCUUCAACCCACUUGGUGAAAUAAUCAGUAGCAACUAAGAUGAAUUUGUGUCCUUUACUAGAAGGCAGAUAAAUCUGACCGAUUAGAUCAAUAGCCCAUCCCCGGAACGGCCAAGGCUUAAUAAUGGGAUUCAUGGCCGAUGCGGGUGCUCUUUGAACAUUGCCAAACUUCUGACACCCUUGACAUCCCUUGAAAUAUUUAAAGCAAUCUUCAAGUAUGGUUGGCCAAAAAUACCCAUUCCUCCUAAUCAUCCACUUCAUCUUGAAUGCCGACUGAUGUGCUCCACAUACUCCUUCAUGGAUUUCUCCCAUCAAACUUUUAGCUUCAUCUUCACCCAAGCAUUUGAGAAGAAUUCCAUCAAUUGUUCGAUAAUACAAUUCAACUCCGAGGAGCACAUACUUGGUGGCUUGAAACCGAACACGUCUCUCGACUUUCUUGGAUGGAUCCUUCAAAUAAUUAACAAUUUCUUUUCUCCAAUCACCGGCACCAACUGCCGAUAUUGUAUUCAACAUGGGCUGGUAUCCCGAAGCAUGCUGAGCCAACCGAUUGGCCUCCUCAUUAUGCAACCGAGGAACAUGCUCUAAUCGGAAAUCCUUGAAUUCCUUUAAUAAUUGCAUACUCCUUUCGUAAUAAGUUAUCAGGACUUCACUUCGGCAUUCAUAACUCCCAGCUAAUUGAUUUAUAACCAGUAUGGAAUCCCCGAAGAUCUCGAUAGCAUCAGCAUGAACUUCUUUUAACAACUCCAACCCUUUGAUUAGAGCUUGAUACUCAGCUUGAUUAUUUGUUGAUGCGGCAGCAAUCGGUAAGGAGAAUUCAUACUUCCUUCCCCGAGGAGAAAUUAGCAAUAUGCCGAUUCCUACCCCCCGAUCACACGUGGAUCCAUCAAAGAAGAGUGUCCAAGGUACGAUUUCCAAAGUUUCCACUGUGCCACAAUGUUGAGUCACAAAAUUGGCCAUAACUUGUCCUUUAACCGCUUUAGCCGAUUUGUAACGCAGAUCGAAUUCCGACAGUGCAAAAAUCCACUUACCGAUUCUACCACUCAUGAUCGGCAUAGAUAGCAUGUAUCGGACCACAUCAUCUUUGCAAACAAUAGUGCAUUCGGCCGAUAGCAAAUAAUGUCUUAACUUAAUACAGGAGAAAUACAAACAUAAGCAUAGUUUCUCAAUAGCCGAAUACCUGGUCUCAGUAUCAAUCAACCUUCUGCUUAAGUAAUAAAUUACACGCUCCUUCCCUUCAAACUCUUGAAUCAAAGCUGAACCGAUGACCAUCCCAUCGGUAGACAAAUACAAUCUGAAGGGCUUUUCAUGCUGAGGUGGAAUCAGAACCAGAGGAUUCAUCAAAUAAUUCUUGAUUUCAUCUAGGGCCAACUGUUGCUCUUUUCCCCAUACGAAUUCUUGAUCGGCUUUUAAUUUGAGUAAAGGACUGAAAGCACGGAUUUUGCCAGACAAAUUAGAUAUAAACCUUCUGAUAAAAUUCACCUUGCCAAUCAAGGACUGGAGCUCAGUUUUGUUGGUAGGAGCAACUAUUUUGUUGAUAGCAUCAAUGGAUCUUCGGCUAAUCUCAAUCAUUCUUUGAUGUACCAUGAAACCAAGAAACUGUCCUUCCGAUACACCAAAUGCACACUUAUUAGGAUUCAUCUUCAAACCAUAUUUUCUUCUGCAUUCCAACACUUUUCGCAAAUCGGCAAGAUGUUUCGUGAAAUCCCCAGAUUUAACCACCACAUCAUCAAAAUAAAUCUCCACCAGCUUGCUGAUGAACUCGUGAAAUAUAAAAUUCAUGGCCCUUUGAUAAGUAGCACCAGCAUUUUUCAAGCCAAAGGUCAUGACUAUCCACUCAAACAGCCCAACAUGACCAAGAGAUCUAAAUGCAGUUUUUGGGAUAUCUUCUUCAGCCAUGAAUAUUUGGUUGUAUCCUGCAUUGCCAUCCAUAAAGCUAAUGACCCGAUGCCCAGCCGCAGCAUCAAGUAGCAGAUCAGCAACCGGCAUCGGGUAACCAUCCAUCGGCGUAGCUUUAUUAAGAUUCCUGAAAUUAAUGCAAACCCAAAGCUUCCCAUUUUUCUUGUAAACUGGAACAACAUUGGAAAUCCACUCGGCAUAACGACAUUGCCGAAUAAAUUUAGCUUCAAUAAGUUUAGUUAUUUCGGCCAUAAUAUCAGGAAGAAUAUUAGGAUUACAUCGGCGAGCUGGCUGUUGAUGCGGCCGAAAUCUAGACUUGAUGGGUAACCGAUAUUCAACAAUUGAACGGUCUAAACCAGGCAUCUCAUUAUAAUCCCAAGCAAAGCAAUCUUUAUAUUCCUUUAACAGAUCGGUUAACUGCUGCUUACACUCAGAACUCAACUUAGCACUAAUAAAAGUAGGUCUAGGUUUAUCACCACUACCUAUAUCUACUUCUCCCAAAUCAUCAGCUGAUGUGAAUCCUUGGCCUAAUUUUCCAUCAUCGGUGAACCUAUCCAUUAAAACUCCUCAUCAGAACUGACUGCUUGGAUCGGUGGAAUUUCAUAAUCGGUGACUCUGAGGAAAUCCUUCUCCCAAAUUUCUCCCGAGAUGCACCUCGUCCUUUCAUAAGUAUCUGCCUCUGCUGAUGCAAUAACAUAGGAAGAAUCUCCCGAGACAAUCUCAAUCUUGUCACCUACCCAUUGUACCAAGCAAUGGUGCAUUGUAGAUGGGAUGCAAUAAUUGGCAUGAAUCCAAUCUGUCCCUAGCAGCAAAUUAUAGGCACCUUUUCCGCUGAUCACGAAGAAAGUUGUCGGCAAGGUUUUGCUGCCGAUGGUCAAUUCGACGCAUAUUGCUCCUUUGACUGGAGACACGUUCCCUUCAAAGUCUUUGAGCAUCAUAUCGGUCUUGGUUAAAUCUUGAUCUCCUUUUCCAAGCUUCUGAUAGACUGUAUACGGCAUGAUGUUGAUAGCAGCUCCUCCAUCAAUCAAUAUCUUGGUCAUGGGCUGACCGUCAACUCUCCCUUUGACAAACAGAGCUUUAAGAUGUUGCCUUUCGUUGCCGGCAGGCUUUUCGAAGAUGGCUGUCAUCAGAUCCAGAUCCAAUUGAGCUAUCUGGUCGGAAAACCCCAACUCUUCAUCAUCACUAGAGGGCGCAAGGAAUUCCAUCGGCAACAUAAAUAUCAUGUUAACACCUACCGAUGCCCCUUUUCCCUUAGGGUCUGAUUGUUGCUGAUCCCAAGACUGGCUAGAAUUCUCACCCUUGCUUAGCUCUUCUCGUCUCUCGCGUUGCAGUCUCCUCUUCUGUGUCAUGGUCAAUCCCUCUGGACACCAUGGGGGAAGGGGUGACUGCCUUGCCGAUGGACAACGAUGUUCCCUCGACUCCAUCCGAUGAGUAUUAGCAUCCCUGCAAAAUAUGAACUCAUCGGGAACUCGUGCAUUAGCCAUCUCCUCAAGUUCUUCCUGAUCCCUGGGAAAAUAUCCAACACGAUCACCAAGCCUAUCAUGUACACUGAGUCUGCCCCCCAGCCGAUCAUGAACCGAUGCUCUCAACCUAAUCGGCCCAUUAAAUCCCCGAUCGUUAUCAUGAUGGCGCCGAUCAGAUCUAUCAUGCCGAUUAUAACCAUUACACUCAAGGCAAUCUUCAACAGUAGGUAAUUUAAUGUUCUGCUCCCAGCAAUGGACAAAGAACGGGCAGUUCCAGUGAUCCUUGUGUCGAUUCCACUCCCAUCGGCGUCUUUCUUCUUCCCGAUGAUAAUCUUCUUGCUGGCGCCGAUGCUGAUCUUCAUGUUGCUGCCAAGUCUCCCGAGGCCUUCUAUGAGUUAUCACAAUACCGGAUCGGGGAGGCCCUCCUGAAUUGGAUCCCUCCUGGAUCAAACCCUUUCCUUUAGCAUCGGCAUCGGUAAUCUGAUGUUGAGGAUCAACCGAUGCAUUUCUUUCAGCUGCUUCUGACGUCGGCACCUUAGUUUUCUCCUUAGCGUCCAACAUGUUUGUCGGAAAAGGGUGUUGAUCUAUCUUCAUCGGCGUCUGAGCUUUAGAACUAUCAAACUUGAUUCUCCCAGAUUCAAUAGCCGAUUGCAGCUGUUGCCUAAAAACUUUGCACUCAUUGGUGCUGUGAGAAGUUGCAUUGUGCCACUUGCAAUAUUUCAUCUUCUUUAAUUCUUCGGCCGAUGGAAUCACAUGAUUGGGUGACAGCUUGAUGUGACCUUCUUGAAGUAGAAAGUCGAAUAUCCUAUCGGCUUUGGUGAUGUCAAACGCAAACUUCUCUGGCUCCUUAUGCCCAAAAGGACAAGACAUUGGUUUCUUAUUUUUCACCCAUUCUGCCAAGCCGAUGACUGGUUCCUCAUCAGAAUCCGAGCUUGCUGCUUCAUCAACGAACGAUACCUUUUUAUUUCAUGCUCUCUUGGGUUCAAAAGGUCUAAUAUCUUGAUCAGAAAUUCUCUGUAACAAGUGACUUAAGCUUUCAAACUCUUGAGAAGCAUACUUGUCCCUGAUGUGCAGCAACAAACCCUGGAAAGCCAAAUUGGCUAGCUGCCGAUCGUCCAAAACCAGACUAUAACAUUUGUUCUUGACCUCCCGUAUCCUCUGCACAAAAUUCUCAACCGAUUCAUCAUUGCGUUGCUUCAAUUUGACCAAAUCGGUGAUCUUCUUCUCAUGGACUCCAGAAAAGAAGUAUUUGUAGAACUGUUUCUCCAGAUCAGCCCAAGUAAUCACUGAGUUGGGAGGUAAUGAUAUAAACCAAGUGAAAGCCGAUCCAGAUAAUGAUGACGAGAACAAGCGAACCCUUAACUCGUCCCUGUUAGCAGCUUCUCCACAUUGGAUGAUGAACCUGUUGACAUGCUCCGUGGUUGAAGUGUUGUCCUAUCUAGAAAACUUAGUGAAAUCUGGCACCUUGUACCGAUUUGGAAGUGGGAUUAAAUCAUAUGCAGGAGGAUACGGUGUCCGAUAAGAAUAAGUGUUGACUUUGGGUUUUAUCCCAAAUUGGUCUCUCAUUACUUCAGCAAUCUUAUCGGCCCAAUAAGCAUCGGCAUCCUGCCGAUGGGGUGGUUGCGGAUCCGACACCUGCUGAUAUACUUCCACGUGUCUAUGCAGUGCGUGAUCUGCAUGGAACAUUGGGUUAAUCAUUUGGCCACCAAUCUGCUGACCACCAAACUGCUGACCACCGAACUGCUGACCACCAAGGUUCAUUGGCUGGUUGGCUAAUCCUUGAUUCUGGAACCCAGGGUAAAUCUGGCCUUGUUGAAACCUUGUAGCCUGAUGAUUCUGUUGGGGUAUUUGUGGAAAGACUUGCUGCCCAGUCCAUCCACCAUUAGCAUUCAUCGGCAUAGACCCUGCCGAUGUCUGGUAAUUGGGCAUCGUUAUAGAAUUGACAUGCCCUGACUGAGCCAUAAACCUCUGUUGCGUCGGCAUUUAAUCUGCCGAUGUAUUAGGCAUCUGGAACAUUGGAGCUUGAGAAUUCCCAGUGUAAGGCCUUUGCAGUGGUAGUUGUAGUAUAUUGGGGACUCUGACUCAUCGGCAAAUUUGGGGCUGCCGAUGUCAUAGGAACCUUGCCCCUCAAAUCAGCCGUCUGAGACGUGCCAGGUGUCUUCAAUGUCAGCUCUGGGGGCAUACCAUAACCCCACCAGUUAGGAGGAGGAACCGAUCCAGACAUCGCCGAUGCCAAUAGAUCUGUAGCAAGCUUGAUCUGCCCAUCAGAAGUCGAUGGAUUGGUCGUCAUCGGCGUAGAUUGCGCGUUAGUGACUCCUAACGUGCUUGGAGGGACAGUAGUUUCUGUGCCCGCAGCGACUGUAGCAGCCGAUGGAGCUGUAACCACCGGUGAUCCCGGCUGAUGAUAGACAGGGCCCACAUAAUUUGGUGGCAAUUGUCCUUCUUUGAAAGUUCUAGCCACAGUGUUGAAAACCGUAUUGGACAGCACACCAGCUUGAUUGAUCAAGGCACGGUUAAUAGCACUAUCAACCAUGUCUUGGAGUUUACCAGGAUUGGUGUCGAAAGUAACCUGUCGAGGUGCCAGCAGUGCCUCCUUCUGGAUCACCUCGCCACUCCUGUUGAUACUAAAAGACUUCAAACAUUGCUGCUUGUAGUCCUCCAUGGAUUUUGCAAUGGCUUGCUUCUGCUCAUCCUUGAGAUUGGCUUCCGUCACGGGGAUGACAUUCUCCAAGUCAAACUCGGUAUUCGCCAUGCUAAUCUUGAUCUUGAUUUGGUCCCACUGGGCGUGCCAAAAGAUGUGUUGAUGCAAAAACGGAUCUGGAAACACAAAGGGCUAAUACCCGAUUCAAACGUUAAGGCGUGCCAGCCGAUUUGACCUUACUAUCGGCAAAGGUGAUAACUCGAAUACUUUGGUCCUGACAACAGUGAUGCGCCUGGAUGUCACGGCCAAGAGGUAUUCACGCGGAACUUGAGAAUACGCCGAACUUAAGUCGACGAACUCCUAAGAACUCAUAGUAAAAGGAAAAUAUGACGAAGUCGUCGAAAAAGUAGAUGCUGGAAUAUGAGUAAAAACUUGUGUUUGAUUGAUUGAUAGAUUAUUCAUUACAAGGCCCUAGGGUCUACAUUUAUACCCUGCUCAAAGAGCUACAAUCAGACACGACUAGGAUUCGAAUUCCAAAUUAAACAGAGCCCGUAUACAAAAUGAAUCUAGAUAACUAAGUAAAAUACAAAAUUAUCUUCCCAUAACUGAUCAGGACACCACCACGGGUCAAUCGCAACUCCUGCAGAGCCACCAGCAACCUCCCUGCUAUCGCCAUCAGCAAACAUUGAUACUAGUCAUCGGUGAGGAAUGCGCUAUCACUUCCGGACUUAGCCAUAUCCAACCGCCCCUUCAUCGGCAACUUUCUUCAUCGGCAACGCUUCCACAGUCUAGUUACCAUUGCUCCGCCUGCCGAUCUUGUACUCUACCGGUUUCUGUGCACGUGUCCAAAAAACGGUGUCAACACAAUGAAAGACAACAGUUAUUCCCAAAUCACUGUUCAUUUACAUUCACUUUCAACAUGUUACCAGACAUUUUGCUAAGAUCAACAUACCGACUCAUGUAUAUAUCAAACACUUUGCUAAGAUCAACUUAACAGAACAGAGAGGAGAACGACAACGACACAGGCUCGUGCCUCUGAACUCCCAUCCGUAAGCAUGGCAAAGAUCAACUUACCGACUCAUGUUGCUAGAGGCUUGUUCUUCGCUCUUUGCCACGUUGGUGGAGUUCGUCGUGGCCCGAUCCACUACCACAACCUCCAUGGACAGUGCCGUAGCGUCUUCGAGCGCCUUGGGCCUCAUGCUCGCUGCAAUGCUGGCAAUGGACGCCAUGGUCCUUUCGGCCGCCUUUUUGACUCUAUUGUUCGUGGCCUCCGUGCAGAUGCAGUUCCUCGCCACCGAUGGAGUCUAGUUCCCUAUGGUCGUCAUGCUUCUCCGCGCAAUCUUCGUCUGCAGAGCCAACCACCAUCUCCCUGCCUUGGCAUGAACGGGGCUGGCCCCAGCAAUGCAGCACCACGCGACGUGGAAGCCCUAGCGCCACCCACCGUUGAAGCCCCGAUGCCGCCCGUCGAUGAAGUGGUUGUUGAGCCCGUUGUUGUGCCUGCAUACAUCCCCAUGGAGCCGAUGUCGCCGGCACCGGCACCAAAUAGCCACUGGUGCGACUUCUGCAAGGAGUACAUGUCGAUCCCAGACAUGCUCGAGUACGCCUACUCGAUGCCGAUGCCCACACCAGCCUCUCCGACUCCAGUGGAGAAAGGCAACUGCAUCCCCCCACUCGGUCCGUGGUUCCUGAACACGCAGGCUGCUCCAACGCUCGAUGUAGUGAAGGUCGAAGACGAGGUCGACAUGGUGGCUGCGCCCGGCGUCGGCAACCUCUUCAAUCUCCGCGACAUCUUCAACACCGCUGCGAGAACCAGCCCCUUGGCUCCUCCUCCGCCUGCGACGCGCGUGGAGGCUGCUGCCCGCAUGAAGGUGCAAGCCCUCCCAGGUCCUCCUUUGGCAGAGACGCUGCCGACUCUAACGCUCUGGCGCUUCCUCGGCCACAAGACACAGUGGAAGUGGACCGGCGCCCUGGCCUCCGUCGCACCAGUGCCUGGAACCCGACAGAUCUUGGUCUCUGAGCAUGGAGGUGCUCAACAUGGGGACCUACGGCAGCGGCUUCUACUCCCUGAUGAGGGGGAGUCCUCCUCCGCGAACUGAAGCAUGGCAGUGCCGGCACACUGGAGUGUGGGAGCGAGAUGUGAAGCAGCAGCGGCGUCCUCACAGGCGGCGGCGGCAUGGAGUCACCCUGCUGCUUGUUUCCUGCCCUUUAUGGCCAACACCCACAACUUGGGCCAGCCCAAGGCCUGCGUCCCCUCCUCUCCUACUGUGUGCGCCUGAUAAGCCAUACUGGUCCAAAAUGAACGUGGAUUAGUUCCAUUUCUUAUGGCUCGCUGGCUUGUUACCUUUUAUGUUUUAUUUAUUUUCAGCAUAAAUUCGCAUGAGACUCUGUUUAGUCCCUAGUAAUUUUAUGUUGUAAAUUUAAAAAGCACAAUAUGUGUUGUAUGAUUAUUUUUAGUCGCUGACUUUAGCAACAAUAUGUACUCAUGAUGUUUUAUAUUAUUGUAAAAUAUCCGUUUGUGAUAUUAUUCAAAGCGUUUGUCCCGGUAUGAAUGACAAAUCCAAUAAAUAAUAUCCUUGUUAUCGUGACCAUGGUCUUGUAAUUAUUAAUUUAUUUUGCAAUCAAUCAUUUUUAUUUAAGCUCUUUUACGCUUUUAACUUUAAAGCACUAGGCGCUUAAAUAACGGAUGUGGCAUUUUAUGUGUAUUUCUCUCAUUAUUUGUAUAACAUGCAUGUUCUCAAUUUAUUUGUUGUCCAUACAUAAGGUAGCACCAUAGUUGCUACUGCUGGAUCUACACUAAGUAACACUUAGUGACUAUCCUCAACGUGCGUACCCAACAUCAUAAAUUAGAGCAUUUGGUCUACAUCUUUUCACAAAGAUGACUACCAUUAAUUCACAUUCCUAUUGACCAAUCACAAGGUAGCACCAUACUGUGGGAUCUACACUAAGUCCACAACUUAGUGACUAUCCUCAAUGUGUGUAUCCAAUUCGUUUGCGAAUUAACCAAGGUCUACAUCAGUCUUGAUGACUACCUUAAGACGUGUUCAUAUAACUUGCAUAAUUACUUGGCAUCUACCAUUAACACAGACUAUGCCAAAUUUGAGGUCUACACCUUCGCGCUGACUACCUCCUUAUUUUAUUGUGCACAUGAGAUCUUUACACCACUAAUAAUAUGAGAUUUACAUUGUCUCUAUAUGCAUCCCAUAAUUACAACACACCAUAAUAUUUUAAUAACUUAAAAUGUUUCAAUGGUUUGCCUCGCGUAGAAUCAAUGACUGUCAAAGAGUUUGAUUUACUUGCUCUAGAUGGACACAAUUAUCCCACAUGGGUUGUGGACGAAAAGUUAGUCUUGCGUUCCGUGGACUUUAUCGAGCCGUGUUACCACCCGAAGAGGGUGUUGCACCACUUGAUGAUCAACAUAUAUACACGGCCCUAUAUCUCAUUAGGAGCCAUAUUCAUCCUGACCUAAAGGCUGAAUACUUGUUGGAGGAAAAUCCACGAAAUUUAUGGAAUUCUCUUAAGCAACACUAUGAACAACAAAAGGCACUUGUCCUACCCACAGCCAACUAUGAGUGGACACAACUUCGGUUACAGGAUUUCAAAACUGUGAGUGACUACAACCAUGCUGUUCAUAGGAUUUGCUCAAAGUUGCAAUUCUGCGAGAAAGAACCUACAGAUGUGGAUAAGAUAGAAAAGACUUUGUCUAUUAUGCUUCCCUCUGAACGGAUUCUUCAACAACAAUACUGUGAAAGGCAUUUCCAGGUUUAUUUUGAGCUUAUACAAACUCUACUUGAGGCCGAAAAACAUUCUGAACUUAUGGUUUGGAAUAAUCAGCAUCGCCCCAUAGGGUCUGCUCCAUUACCUGAAGUACAUGCAUACACUCAGAAUAAACCCAAAUCUAAUGAUAUAUCUGAAAAGAAUUAUCAUCAAGGAAAUUCCAAUAAGGGUAAAAACAAACGCAAAUGCAACAAGAAAUCCCAAAAUCUUGUUUCCAACAAUGGUAAGAACAUUUCUAAAUGCAAAAAUGACAAACCUGUGUGUCAAAAGUGUGGUUGUUAUAGCCAUACUACAAAGAAAUGUUGUAUCCAAAGUCAUCUAGUUGAUCUUUACUUAAAGUCUGUGGGUUGCGGACGAGCUACACCAGGACAGAAGUAUGAAGCCCAUUUCAACCUUCGACCUGACACCACCAGGGAAGAGGCUGGUUGUUCGCAACAAGUUCCUAUAGAACCAAGCAACAACAUCAUACGAGGAGGAGAGAAUCUUACUGAUACAGGGAAUAUGAUCGUAGAAUAUACAUCCAACGACAUAUUUAGAGACUUCCACUAGGCUCCCAAUCCCUUAGAUUCUAAUAUCUCUAUGUUCUAGUGAUUCUAAUACACAAUUUAUGUCCUAUGUGUUGUAAAUAUUUAAUAAUAUCAUCACUACUUAGUAUGGAUAUCUAAUAAAUGUAUUGUACACAUUUGAUAUUCAACAAAUAAAGUAUAUAUUAUAUAUAUCAUAAUUCUUUAUUUAUAUAUAGUUUCAACGCGGGUUGAUCUGAUGGAAGAGGAAUUAUGCCUAGUGGACGGUGGUACCACUAAUUCUAUUCUUAGGGAAACAAAAUAUUUCUAAACUCUUACUAAAAGACAAAGAAAUGUUAUGACAAACGCUGGACACGAUGCUAUGAUAAUUGGUUCAGGUCGUGCCAUUAUCGUACUCCCUAUGGGUACCCAAAUUACAAUUGAGGAUGCAUUAUUGUAUCCCGAUUCAAAGCGUACCUUAUUAAUUUAUAGAGAUAUCCGUCAAAAUAGUUUCCAUAUAGAAACCCUUGACGACAAUAAUGAGGAAACUCUCCUUGUUACUAAAAACAAUGGAUAUGGCAAACAAAUUGUUGAGAAAAUUCCUUCUUUUCCGUCCGAAUUAUACUACACAUACAUCAAACACGUUCCACAUGUUGCGUACAAGGUAAUUUUCCAUAAUGUUGACGCAUUUAUAACUUGGCAUGAUUGCCUUGGUCAUCCUGGUAUAGGGAUGAUGCGGAAAAUUAUCAGCAAUUCUAAUGGUCAUGAGUUAAAUACUGCUAAGUUCCCCAAAUCUUCAUAUUUUAUGUACACUUCAUGUGCUACAGGGAAAUUGAUCUUACGUCCAUCACCCGUUAAGAUCCAAAAUGAGCCACUUAAAUUUCUUGAACGCACUUAAGGAGAUAUUUGUGGCCCCAAACAACCAACGUCUGGACCAUUCAGGUACUCCAUGGUUCUAAUAGAUGCAUCUACUAGAUGGUCUCAUGAGUGUCUUUUGUCCACACGUAACCAUGCUUUCACAAAAAUUAUUGCUCAAGUUAUUAAACUUAGAGCACAUAAUCCUGAACAUCAAAUUCAAUCAAUUCGAAUGGACAAUGCUGCUAAAUUUUCCUCAAAGGCUUUUAAUGAUUAUUAUCUGGCUUUAGGAAUUCAAGUUCAGCACUCUAUCCCGUAUGUCCAUACACAAAAUGGUUUAGCAGAAUCUCUUAUUAAGAGAAUUAAACUCAUUGCGAGACCAUUAUUACAAAAUUGCAACCUACCAACUUCAUGUUGGGGUCAUGCAGUUUUACACACUGCUGACUUAAUUCAAUUGUGUCCAACUGCAUAUCAUGUACUCUCCCCGUUUCAACUAGUACGUGGGAAUAUGCCAAAUAUUUCUCAUCUGCGAAAAUUUGGUUACGCUGUAUACGUACCGAUCUCACUACCUAAGUGUUCCUCUAUGGGUCCACAUAGGAAAUUUGGUAUUUAUGUGGGAUAUCAAUCUCCAUCGUUUAUCAAAUACCUCGAGCCUCUUACAAGGGACUUAUUCACGGCCCGGUAUGCUGACUGCAUAUUCAACGAUGACCAUUUUUCGGCAUUAGGGGGAUAUUUCAAGUACCAAAAAGAAUGCCAGGAAAUCAACUGGAAUGCACAUGGCAUUUUCUCCUCAGAUCCACGUAUUCUAGAGACUGAACAACAAGUUCAGAAAAUCAUAAACUUGUAACAUAUUACAAAUAACCUGCCAGGAGCAUUUACUGAUUAUAAGAAUGUCACUAAAUCCUCUUAUCACUAAAUCCUCUUAUCCUGCUCGCAAUGCUCCCGAAAGAGUGGAGGUACCAAUAAAAACCAAUCAACUCCCACUUCUAAAGAAGAAGGGGUGAAGUACGGCCGCUCCUAAGGAUAAUGCUCCAAGUAAGCGUCUGAGGAAAUCGAGAGCUAAAUCCUCCAAAUCAUUAAAUUCAAGCUGACCUCACAAUGGUGGAUAAAAGUCUAACACCGGGACCAAAUCUACAACCCGGAUCAAUAGUAUAUCCAAAUUCUGAUCUUAGGACAUCGGAACACCCUAACUCCAUAGUUUUGGAAAAUGUUGAGUCAAAUAAUGGGGUGAAAGAAAUUUCCAUCAAUUAAAUCAAUUCUGGAGAAUCAUAUGAUCGUAAGACUACUGUUGUAGACAUGUAUUGCUCUGCAGCAAUUAUAGAAAUCUUUCUGUUGAUGCAAAAGUGAAUCUGCAAACACAAAGGGCUAAUACCCGAUCCGAUAUCCAAGACGUGCCAGUUGAUUUGACCUGUUAAUUGAUAAGGAUGGUAAUUCAAGUACUUUAGUCCCGACAACAGCGAUGCGCCCGAAAGUCAUGGCCAAGAGGUACUCACACAGAACUCAAGGAUCGUCGAGGGUUGCACUAGAGCGAUGCAACUCGCCGAAUCGAUGAGAACUCGUAAAAGAGAAAAUAUGCAUGUUGAUGAAAUCAUCGAAAAAUAAGUAGAUGCAGAAGUAGGAGUAAACUUGGAUUUGAUAUUGAUUGAUUAUUCCCUAUUACAUUGUCUCUCGGCUUAUAUUUAUACCCUGACCUAAAGAAUUGCACCAAUGACGACCAAGAUCCGAUUCUAAGACAAAACAGGACUCUUACAUAAGGCAUACUUUAACAAAUAUAGAAAAUAUAAAACAACACCUAUCUACUUUCGUGUCCGCCUUAACCACAAUAAAAAUCUUCAUCGGCUCCUGCUCCAUCGGCAUGCUUUUGGUCAUCAUAAGCUUCACCAGCAGUAGUCUUCCUGUCUUCCUUCAUCGACAUUGGCAAUGUAUUACCAUAAGCCAUAUCGGCAAUAGUUCUCCACUCAGCAUCGGCAAACACCAUCUCCAAUCUUAUUAAUCAACACUUCUGUAUUUAAGUUAAAAGACAAUCCUUCCAUCAAUCACCACCUUUCAUUGGCAACAAUCUCCAUCGGCUGAUCUUCAUCGGCACCUUUCUGUUAGCACAUUGCAACAACUUCCCCACUACCGAUUGGUCCAUUUUGAUUAUCUUGACACGUGCCAAAAGCGGUGUCAACACAUGCCUCCCAAUUUUGGAGUAUAAGAUCAUUAAUGCUCCAAAAUUUACUCCAGAUAAUGAUUGCCUUUAUGUAAUUAUCUCCUUUAUGACAAAAUUUGUUGCCGAAUCCAGUUAAAUCCAGCCCCGAUUCUUGUGCCUCAGUAAAUAUCACACAACCUCCAACCAUCCUUGUCCCGAUUAUGGCCAGAAUAUAAGGGAAGCAAACCAUCGGUAAGAGUCCAAUACCAUACCAUACUGCCGAUCCCGGUAUUAAAAUAUUUUUGUACACCGGAAUAUCCCCUGAAUCAUGAUUACUUGCCAUCAAAUCAUCCACACAAUCCCUUGAUUGUCGUGCGAACAGUUACCAUAUCCAUCUGAACAACCUCGACUUUUACACGCGCGGCAGAGAGAUAACUCUAGAAUGCACAUGCCCUAUUUAGCCUAUAAACACAUUUCCCUCAGAUACCUUUCUUCUACCUUGCCAUUCCAAUCUGCCAAACACCUACUCUCUUCGACGGUGAUCUUGACGAUCCACCGUCCGACCUCAAUCGUCGAGAACUUCCUACAGCGGCAGCCUCAUCUCCAUCCGCUCAAAGCAAUAGCAAUCAACUUCAAUGUCCCCGCGGUCAGUCUUGUACCCAUCUCCUUUUCUUUUACCUUUGCAAGUUCAUAUAUUUAGUGAUUUUCUUUUUCUUUUCUUCUGUCCUUUUGAUCUUUCAAACUUAGGAGCUGAGCAACGAUUAGUUAUUCCAACCGAUCAAACGCACACCUAAUGCCUAGGCCCGAUGGGUGACCCAGAUCCAACCGAUCUGAUUAAUGCAGAAACCAAUAUAAUCCCCUUCAGAGCUCAGAAUUUUUCUCUAGAUCUGUAGAAAGACACCUUCCGAUCUUGGCCAAAAACCACCAAGGGAUGGAAACAUUGAUAUGAGAGGGUCAAUAGAUCGGUGGAAGUAUAUGGUGCCGAACGAAAACUAGACCAAUGUAUCAGGCUAUCCAUUGCCGAUAUACAGAAGAAUGAGUCGAUGAUGAUAGCGGCUGCUUACUUUUGGUCAGACACCACUAAUACUUUCAUGUUUGGACACGGCUUAGCCACUGUUGACGGUUCUUAAGUAUCAAUUUUAAUUAUCAAAAAAACAAGAGAAAGGACCAAUAUGCAAACAACACCUAGAAUUAGGGUUUGAUCUGACAGAAUUCCACGAGUUUUGUUGUUUAUCUAUUUCUGCAGGGGGUUAUCAGAAAAUAAGGAAGAAAGGCCCACAUAUCAGGAUUACAUAGAGAUAUCAAUGCACCGCACGAUUUUCUACCAUCUAGAAGACUCCAGAAGCCACGGGAAGAAAACAGAGGCCGAAAGGGGCCAGGCCCAGGGCGCCCGCCCCCUGCUGGAUGUCAAUCAGGACUCUCUUCGCACGGGAUAUUCCACCGACCUAUUGGAUCAAGAAAAACAUAGUACCACCUCGCCUACCGACCCAAAAACGCAUAGAGGAGGAGGACUAUAUAAGGAGACCCCCUGGCCCCUGGAGAACACAUGAAGAAAUUAUCAUAGAGAUUGAGGGGUGCCCUCGAAGGAAAACCUCUUCUCUAAUUAAUAUUUCUUUUUAGGCUUAGCAACCAAUGUAAAGUAGAAAUAGAUCUUCUAGUUUCUACUAGAUUGAGAGAGAUAGAGUGGAGGUGUAGAUUGGAGGAAGCCCGGCCUGUCGGUGUCUACUCCAAGCUUGUACCUGCGGGAUCAAGAUCUCCUAACCCGAAGCUUGCUCCUAGGAUUCUUCAGUAUUUCGACUUCUAAAUUCUAGUAAGUACUUGUUUUAUUGUUCUUCUGGUUUAUGAGUUUACUUUAAUCUCUUUGCGUAGAGUUUAGAGUAAUCAUUGCUGGCGUAAAUGUGGUAUUUAGGCUGGGGUACUCAUAGAUAUUCCCUGACUAGCUGGACCGUGGUAGUAGUGAGGAACGUGACAAUUCCGAGUUACCUUUGCAGACCACAUCUCGUUAGCAGGAAGAAUAGGGUUUAUAGGUGCGGGUUGAAUAUCCUUUGUGGUGUCUAGAUUCCGUUAGCCUCCCCAUUAGAACAGUAGAUCAUCCUUACCAAGGUUAGAAGGAGACUACGGUUGCAGUCUUCUCUAUUUAUCACUCACAUCGAAAGACAUUCUUUGUGCCUAAAGGGUUAGUAGUAAUAGACCGGUUAGUCAGAUGCACUCUUUCUCCUAGUGGUAAAAAAAUAAAUACGAUACUCUGGAUAAUUUCCCGGGUGAAGUGCUCACCGAUAUCCGUGCGCUUGCGGAUCAAUUCCUUAUUGCGUUCCCAAAUAUCAACAAGCAUUUCUGGCGCCGUUGCCGGGGAGAAAGACGGUUGCUGAGAUAACCUGAGUCUUACUACUAGCUUGUAUCUAUACUUUUAUCUUUUCUUAUCUUUUAUAUUCUUUAUUUAUUUUCUUUACUCUUACCCUAUGGAAAACCAAAAUUCUAAAUCGAUCCAUGAAUCUGCAAUCCCUUUAGCAACUGACCUUUUACCAUGGGAGUCAUCACAGCCUAUCCAAACAUCCCAGUAUAAGUUAAGUUCUAGGUUGAUUGCCAUGAUUCAAAACCUAUCUUUUUCGGGAAAGGAAGACGAAAACCCUUACCUUCAUAUUAGAGAUUUUGAGCAAACAUGUGAUUGUCUUCGCAUUGAAGGCAUUUUUGAUAAAACUUUACGUUGGAAGCUUUUUCCUUUUUCCUUAAGGGGAGAAGCUAGACAAUGGUACAGUCAGAAGGUAAGUCAACAACAAGGUGAAUGGGGAGUUUUACGAGCUAACUUUUGUCUAGAUUUCUAUUCCCUUGACCGUAUAGCCGACCUUAGACUCGAAGUCCUGGAAACGUUUUUCUGAUCUUUUAGAAUCUGGUCCAAACCUUAAUCUUGAAGACCCUAUUCUUUUAUUUCACUUUUUUCGAGGUCUUCAAAAAAAUCACAAACAAAUGCUACACACAAUGUCUAGAGGUUCUUUCUUUCGAAUUCCUACUGAUGAAGCUAGAGUGAUCCUAGAUAGAAUCCUAGAAGCUGAGAUGGAUAAUACCCUUCAUGAUGAAACCUACGAAGCCGAAGUAGACACUCUGCCAAAUUCUUCAUCUACUUUAGCUAUCCCAAGUUCUGAGCCACAAGAGGAAGAAAUUCCACCACCGGACUUCAUGCUGGAUAUAGAAUCCGAUCUUCUUGCCGAUUUUGGAAAUAUUUCAAACUACCAUUCUAUUGACAAACCCCAAAACAGCCAGUUUAGCAUUUAUUUGCCAAGUGAAUAUCAAUUGAGAGAGCUUAUCUCAGUAAUGAGUAGCGAAUGGUUGGAGGAAUCAGAGCUUUCCUCUGAUGUGAUCCGUUUGGACACACCCUCUAUAACUAUACGCUGUGCUUAUAAUUUUGAUCGAUUUAAUGCUCUUUAUAAUCCUGUUGUGGGGAUAAAUAUCAUGUCCAAAUCUUUUGCACUUAAACUAUUUAAAAAUCUUGUCUUAACCCCCACAACGAAGGUCAUAAAGGAAUCUUCGGGACGAUUAGUCCCCAGUCUUGGAAUUAUUAAUGUCCUACCUCUUACGGUAGAAGGCUCCAUGGUUCAUUUGAACUUCUAUAUCUUUGAUACAUGGGACUUCGACCUGUUGAUAGAACAACCUUUUAGAAGACUCCUUUAUGAAGGUCAUACUGGAAAGCUACACAUUUCUUUUGGAAAAACCUUUAAAUUCCCAAUAACAAUUUCACACUCCUUAAACAAUAAGGCCGAAUCAUAUCUUUUGCUGAUCCUAUGGAGGAGGUAAAGGCUGCAUCUCUAGAGCUUUUAGAUGAACCAGACUUAGAAGACGAAAAUCCUUUCUUCACAGAGGAAGAAGCCGAACCUUCUGAGCCUGAACCCUUAGAUGAGUUUGCAGAAACACCUAGACCCCCCAUAGAGCUUAAAACUUUACCACCCGGUCUUACCUAUGCUUUCUUAAACAAUAAUCCAGAGUUCCCUGUAAUUAUUAGCGAUAAACUCACUCAGGAUCAAACUCUGCGAUUAAUGACCAUUCUUGAGAAACAUCACUCAGUUUUCGGCUACUCACUCCAAGAUCUUACAGGAAUCAGUCCUAUGAUUUGUACCCAUCGUAUUCCAACAGAUCCUUCUGUUUCACCCUCUCGAGAACCCCAAUGUAGACUUAAUAACACUAUGAGAGAGGUAGUUAAAAAGGAAGUUAUAAAGUUGCUGCAUGCAGGGAUUAUAUAUCCUGUGCCGCACAGUGAGUGGGUAAGCCCAGUGCAAGUUGUGCCUAAAAAGGGAGGCAUGACUGUUAUUAUGAAUGAAAAGAACAAGCUAAUUCUGCAACGCACCGUCACAGGAUGGCGGAUGUGCAUAGACUAUAGAAAACUAAACAAAGCCACGAGAAAAGAUCACUUUCCUUUACCUUUUAUAGAUGAGAUGCUAGAGCGGUUAGCAAACCAUUCGUUCUUCUGUUUCUUAGAUGGAUAUUCAGGGUAUCAUCAGAUCCCGAUCCAUCCCGAUGAUCAAAGCAAAACCACUUUUACAUGCCCAUAUGGAACCUAUGCUUACUGUAGAAUGUCUUUUGGGUUAUGUAAUGCACCAGCUUCUUUUCAAAGAUGCAUGAUAUCUAUAUUUUCUGAUAUGAUUGAAGAGAUUAUGGAAGUUUUCAUGGAUGAUUUCUCUGUUUAUGGAAAAACUUUUGAUAGUUGUCUUGAAAACUUAGAUAAGGUUUUGAAAAGAUGUGAAGAAAAGCACUUAAUCCUUAAUUGGAAAAAAUGUCAUUUUAUGGUUAGGGAAGGAAUAGUGCUGGGACACCUAGUGUCUGAAAGAGGUAUUGAGGUAGACAAAGCUAAAAUUGAAGUAAUUGAACAACUACCUCCACCUGUGAACAUAAAAGGAAUUCGAAGCUUUCUUGGCCAUGCUGGCUUUUAUCGUAGAUUCAUAAAAGAUUUUUCAUUUAUUGCUAGACCACUUACUCUUUUGCUAGCCAAGGAUGCUCCUUUCGAAUUUGAUGAUGCAUGUUUAACAUCUUUCAAUUUAUUAAAGAAAGCACUCAUCUCUGCACCAAUCAUUCAACCCCCUGAUUGGUCGUUGCCUUUUGAAAUUAUGUGUGAUGCUAGUGAUUAUGCUGUGGGGGCAGUAUUAGGACAAACUAAAAAUAAGAAGCAUCAUGCAAUUGCUUAUGCCAGUAGAACUUUGAGAGGAGCUCAACUUAAUUAUGCAACCACUGAAAAAGAGCUUCUGGUUGUUGUCUUUGCCAUUGAUAAAUUUAGAUCUUAUUUAGUUGGAGCUAAAAUAAUUGUUUACACUGAUCAUGCUGCACUAAAAUAUUUGCUCACUAAAAAAGAUGCUAAACCUUGCCUGAUUAGAUGGAUCUUAUUACUCCAAGAAUUUGACUUAGAAAUAAAAGAUAAAAAGGGAGUAGAAAAUUCUGUGGCUGAUCACUUGUCUAGAAUGUAUUUUAAGAGUCCACAGGAAACCCCCAUCAAUGAUUCACUCCGAGACGACAUGCUCUACGGGAUUAACAGGUCUGACCCCUGGUAUGCAGAUAUUGUUAAUUUUAUGGUUUCAGGGUAUGUACCACCAGGAGCAAACAAGAAGAAGCUUAUUCAAGAAAGUCGUUCACAUAUAUGGGAUGAGCCAUACCUCUUCCGAGUAUGCUCUGAUGGCUUACUCAGGAGAUGUGUGACCACUGAGGAAGGAUGGAAGAUCAUCGACAGAUGUCAUUCAUCACCAUAUGGAGGUCACUAUGGAGCAUUCCGUACACAUUCAAAGAUCUAGCAGUGUACAAUGUAUGAAGACACGAAGCAAUAUAUCAGAAGAUGUGGGCCAUGUCAAAGACACGGAAACAUAAAUACAAGGGAUGCAAUGCCACUCACCAACAACCUUCAGAUUGAGCUCUUUGAUGUCUGGGGAAUAGACUACAUGGGUCCAUUUCCUCCAUCAAAGAAGUGCGAGUACAUCUUGGUGGCGGUUGACUAUGUCUCCAAGUGGGUAGAAGCAUUACCUUGCAAGCAUGCCGACAACGUCAGUUCAAAGAGGAUGUUUGAAGAAAUUAUAUUCCCAAGAUUUGGAGUCCCCAGAGUAGUGAUAAGUGAUGGAGGAGCACACUUCAUCGACAAACGCUUCAAGCAAUAUCUAUCAAAACAUGGAAUCCGUCACAACGUUGCUACCCCCUAUCAUCCUCAGACAAGUGGCCAAGCAGAGACUUCCAACAAACAAAUCAAGAAUAUUCUUCAGAAGACAGUAAAUGAAAUGGGAACGGCGUGGAAAGACAAGUUACCCGAUGCACUCUGGGCAUACCGGACAGCAUACAAGACCUCAAUCGAAAUGUCUCCAUACCAAUUGGUGUACGGGAAGACUUGCCAUCUACCUGUUGAACUAGAGUUCAAAGCACAUUGGGCCAUAAAGAGAUGGAAUAUGGACCUAGAUGUUGCUGGAGAUUAUAGAAGAAUGCAACUAUCAGAAUUGGAAGAAUGGCGAGAGAAGGCGUAUCACAAUUCAAAGAUCUACAAAGAAAGAGUCAAAAGGUGGCAUGACAAGAGAAUCAAGAAGAAGGAGUUCACACCCGGAGAUAAGGUAUUACUUUUUAAUUCCAGGGUGAAGCUUUUUGGGCAUGGAAAACUCCGAAGCAAAUGGGAAGGACCAUUCAAGGUAAUUAAUUCAUCAUCCCACGGAGCUAUCACACUUCAAAAUAGCAAAGGUACGUUAUUCAAGGUAAAUGUUCAAUGUCUUAAAUUAUUUUUAGAGCCCAAUGAAGAAUUUUAAGAAAUAGACGUAGUCCAUUUUUACCUUCCCAUGGAGAAUUAGAGCCCGACCUUUUUAGUCUGAUGAUUUUGGGUCAUAUAUAUAUUUUUCUAAAUAGUUUUGCAUCUAGAAACGCGCUCGAGAAAGUGGGCCCAUAGAGGGGCCAGAGAGAGGGCGGGUGCCCAGCUCAAGUGGGCGGGCGCCCAGCUCCUGUUCCCCCUCGGUCCCGAUUUUCUCUGUUAUGGAAAAUGCACUUAUUGUAAUUCGAAUAAUCCCUCGGAUGGAAAGUUUUGCACGCACGUCGACGGGAGCAACCCGAACAACCCAUAGAGGCACCUUUUAACCCCUAUAUAAACAGACCCCUGACCUCAGUUUUCAAACACCAAGCCACCAAGCCUUCUCUCCUUCAAUUAGAGCUUGAUUAGUUCCUUGCUGCUCCAAUGGCCGAGAAGUACCACGAUGAUUGGGAAGUCGUCCCCUUCAACCUCAACAUGGAGCCUGUGGAAGACCCCGAUGCCCGUGCUCUCGUCCCGGCCAACACAGAGCGACAGCUAGAAGCCAUGCCAUUACGCCAACGCAGCUCCGCCCAAUCCUACCAUGCUCAACCAGUUCUCACCGCACCGCCACAACCCCUACUCCUCAAAGGAUCAUCAUCCAAGACGAAGACCACUAUCAAGGUGCCAACCGGCACAAGGAUCCUUCCACCUAGACACAAUGAGAGGGUCGUUGGAGUCAAGACCAACCGGAGCAGCGAGAUCAGCAGUGUACGCUACACUACGGAGGAGGAAAGGCCUUACUUUGAAGGGAUUCGAGCAGCCAAAGUCCGUUUCAUCCCUCCAAAGGCAGCCUCGAAGCACGCUCUCAAUGCUUUUGAGACACCUCCCAAGCGUCGCAAGACUAUAGUAGACAUUGAUGAGGACGUUCGCAGACUAGACAGAGUUAUCAUAGAUCUCCAGUCCUCGAUUAAUUCCCUCACUAGGCAGCUCUCUAACCACAACACUAUUAUACUAGGCCUUAGGCAGGAUCUUGCCAGUGCCAAUAAGAAGAUUAAGGAAUUAGAGCGCCGCUAAGUUAUCUAGAUUAGACCUUGAGGCAAUGCAUUUUAGUCAUCUAUCUUUAAAUUCGGUUUAGGUUUGCUAUUAUCAUCAGUUUGCUAUUAUCAGUUUGCUACUAGUCUUUUGUAAUAAAUGCCUCAAGAUUAAUAAAGAGUAUUAUUAUUAUUAUGUCUUGUGUGUCUCCAUUUUAUUUUUGUGCAAGAAAGCAGAAAACAAGUACGGGGGAGAUCCCUCGACACGCUAAACACACUCCGACUACACCACUCCACGAUUCAGGUACACACUCUGCAAACUUUACUUUAUACAUACAACUAUCUUGAUUAUGCAGAUUACUUUUCCGACAUGAUAAAAUAAAAAGAUUAAAAUAUUUCUAAUCAUGAUUAAUCUCAAUCUGUGAUGUUUCCUAAAAACUUGCAAUUAUUGAAAAUCAUUUUAAAACCCUGUGUUACUUAAGUCAUUAUGGAAUAUGUGAUGGUAGAGUAUGAGUUUCUUAUUCUUGAUAUCAUUGUUGCUUGGAAAAUUUAUUUCAAAAUAUUCAAAACUCUAGCUACCAUCCUCAGUGUUUUAUAUGCCUGAUAAAACUGAAAAUAUUAAUUAUAAUUAUAAAAGCUAUCUACUCUGUAUUGAGUUUGUUCAAAAUGAGUUAGACCCUUGUUGAGAGAUUUAUCAUGCUCCUAAGAUCAAGACAUUUAUUCAGAAAGAUUCACUCUUCCGAAGUAUUAUUGCAUUAGAGGCAUGGGCUAUGCAAAAAUAGAGAUAUUUCGAGGAAAUAAAAAGGAGCAAGUGCUCGACAACCUCGCAGAAAAAAUGGACAAGUGUCCGGCAGUAGAAUUAGGGGUACUUCGGUAUCCACUUAAAAAAAUGAUAGCCCAUGGUCCCUCUAAUAAGCAAUAUGCCAGCAAGAGUUGACAAAGAUUUUAAUUUCCAAAGUCUUUGAUCUAAGAGUAUAACAUUCCCCUCCUCGGAUCCCGUUUUGAUCAGGCAAUAAAUGCAAAGUGAGUAUGCUUGAGAAUUUUUUGCAAAAUAAAACAACCUCAGUGAGAUAUAUGAAAGAUAAUGAGUGAUCUGAGAGAACCUAUGAGGAUCAAAAGGUAUGCUAACUUUCUUUCAAAAAUAUACAAAAAACUCCAAGUGACACGAUUGAGAAGAAAGGAUCUUAAACAUCCCUGACUAUGGUACACAGUGGAUUUUUAACACCCUGCAAAUAUAAAGAAUGUUUUAAAAUGUUUUACCCCAGAUAUUGUUCUUAACCAUCCUUUUUCUCGAGGACGAGUAAAAGCCUAAGUAUGGGGGUAUUUGUUGACGGUUGUUAAGUAUCAAUUUUAAUUAUCAAAAAAACAAGAGAAAGGACCAAUAUGCAAACAACACCUAGAAUUAGGGUUUGAUCUGACAGAAUUCCACGAGUUUUGUUGUUUAUCUAUUUCUGUAGGGGGUUAUCAGGAAAUAAGGAAGAAAGGCCCACAUAUCGGGAUUACAUAGAGAUAUCAAUGCACCGCACGAUUUUCUACCAUCUAGAAGACUCCAGAAGCCACGGGAAGAAAACAGAGGCCGAAAGGGGCCAGGCCCAGGGCGCCCGCCCUGGUGACCUGGGCGCCCGCCCCCUGCUGGAUGUCAAUCAGGACUCUCUUCGCACGGGAUAUUCCACCGACCUAUUGGAUCAAGAAAAACAUAGUACCACCUCGCCUACCGACCCAAAAACGCAUAGAGGAGGAGGACUAUAUAAGGAGACCCCCCUGGCCCCUGGAGAAGACAUGAAGAAAUUAUCAUAGAGAUUGAGGGGUGCCCUCGAAGGAAAACCUCUUCUCUAAUUAAUAUUUCUUUUUAGGCUUAGCAACCAAUGUAAAGUAGAAAUAGAUCUUCUAGUUUAUACUAAAACUAGAUUGAGAGAGAUAGAGUGGAGGUGUAGAUUGGAGGAAGCCCGGCCUGUCGGUGUCUACUCCAAGCUUGUACCUGCGGGAUCAAGUUCUCCUAACCCGGAUUCUUCAGUAUUUCGACUUCUAAAUUCUAGUAAGUUCUUGUUUUAUUGUUCUUCUGGUUUAUGAGUUUACUUUAAUCUCUUCGCGUAGAGUUUAGAGUAAUCAUUGCUGGCGUAAACGUGGUGUUUAGGCUGGGGUACUCAUAGAUAUUCCCUGACUAGCUGGACCAUGGUAGUAGUGAGGAACGUGACAAUUCCGAGUUACCUUUGCAGACCACAUCUCGUUAGCAGGAAGAAUAGGGUUUAUAGGUGCGGGUUGAACAUCCUUUGUGGUGUCUAGAUUCCGUUAGCCUCCCCAUUAGAACAGUAGAUCAUCCUUACCAGGGUUAGAAGGAGACUACGGUUGCAGUCUUCUCUAUUUAUCACUCACAUCGAAAGACAUUCUUUGUGCCUAAAGGGUUAGUAGUAAUAGACCGGUUAGUCAGAUGCACUCUUUCUCCUAGUGGUAAAAAAAUAAAUACGAUACUCUGGAUAAUUUCCCGGGUGAAGUGCUCACCGAUAUCCGUGCGCUUGCGGAUCAAUUCCUUAUUGCGUUCCCAAAUAUCAAUAGCCACCCCCACUGUUGUCGAUGUGCAUAUGCUCACAGGCUUAGAUAUCUCAACUGCCGAUGACCCCAUGGUUUACAACAGAAGAGCUGAGUACAAAGUGAGCACUCGCAACAUCGGCGGUUGGACAGGAUACAUCCAGGAAUACCAGAAGACUGGAUUGGUUGGCCAAAGGGAACAUGCCAUAUUCCUGAAUAUAUGGCUAGACAAAUUUAUCUUCUGCGGCCGAUCGGUAGGGCCAACUAGCGUCUAUCUUGCUGCAGCCGAACUGCUGGCCAAUGGAAUGAGAUUCCCCCUGGCCGAUACCUCUUGAGUUCCACUUAUCACCUUCUUCACCAAGUAUCUCAGAGGUCCGAGGUGGUUCAUCAAUAUGUGGUUGAACGCCCAUAUGCAUAAGCGUCUGUAAUGGGAUUUUUUCACCAAGCAAAUUCCAUGGGAUAUUACCGAAGAUUAUGAACUUACGAAUGAAGAAUCGCCAACACGCCCGCCCCUCAAUUUUGGCAAGGCAAUAAUAAUACUCCCUGGGACAGAAGCCAAUGAGGACCAAAUCGGCAGGUUCUUCUAGACCUUCUACAAUAGCCUCUCCCGUGAACAUCGGGCCUGGAUGCCUUAUAUCGACGAAGAAUCCAGAUUCCCCCUCCUCUUCAACCUUGUCGAUGAGGCAUUAAACAAAGACAAUGAUCUGAUGAUGGCCAUCAUCACUCCCCGGGCAAUUCUAGCCAACACAUUCAGCAGUGGGAAGAAUGCCAGCAUCGCUUAUGAGUUUUAUAACCCAUCGGCUAUAGCAUGUCAACUGGCCUUUGAUCAACUGCCGGUCAAGCUCUGUUAUGCCGAUGUAAUCAAAUCAAGAGAAGCAAUCACCAGCGGAUUAGAUUGGGACAAGGUGGUCUAACUCCACCCUGACGUCGAUACCUCAGAUACUGAUCUUUUGACCUCGGUGCCGACCUCCUUCAUUACUGAAUCAUACAAGUCAUGGUGGCAAGAAUGGAGGAGUCAAUUAUUUGCAGCACCUGCGCACACGUAUUGGCAUCUAUGAGGCCUUCUAUGACAAUUAGAAGUUCAUCUGUUGUCAUAGAAUCCCUGUCAAAAAAGACCUUCUAUGACAAUUACAAGCUAUUUUUGUGACAAUUUGAGAUCUAUGACAAUUGUAAUUGUCACCAAAAUUGUCACAGAUCAAAAAUUGUCACAAAAAUUGUCACAGAAGGUCUUUUUGACAGGGAUUCUAUGAUAAGAGAUGAACUUCUAAUUGUCAUAGAAGGCCUCAUCUCUCGUAACCCUGAGCAUGUCGUCCCCGAUGAUGCGGUAAGCUUCUUCCAACACUUAGUCCUUUCUUCAUCUUUCACUUUAUCGGCAACUAACUCCUCUGCUUGACAGGUCGAUGGUCUAGCACCAGCUAUGAGCAAAAGUGGGAAACCUUUCGACCUUCGGCCCGUUUCUCCAAUAUCGUCAAUUGGCUACCAUGCUCCCACUUUGGCCGCUCUAACUCAUCAGGGAGCCCGUCCCAAGAAAACCACCACCCAGCGCCCAAAAGCCACUCCAUCGACUGCUGCUGCAACUCUAGUAAAAGCGUUCAAGGUAACAACUUUGCUUACUUCAAUUUUAGGCCGAUCUCAAACUGUACUGACACUAUUUUUCCAGUGCAUUACAACUGCAACUGGGGCGUCAUCAGCAACCUCUUCCGCACCAGAUACUGUCAUCCUUGAUGAGCCUUUAGAGGUACUUUCCUGACUUUAUAUUUAAUUUAUCAAACAUCAUGCCUUACAUCUGUUUUGCAGCAACAAACUGAUGCAUCGGCAAGAGCCUCGGACGUUCAACCAACAAGUGCCGAUGCCCCCCAGCCAGCAGCCACCAAAGCUCAAACCAAGCAAAAAGCUCCAACAAGCACCAAGACCCAACCAAAGCGGCAAAAAGUUGUACCUUCUUCACCACCCUAGCCGGUGCCCCUAAGCCAACCAAAACUGGCCGAUGUACCUGAGCAGAUAACCGAUCCAUCUGGCCAAGAUACAUCAUCAGCCAUUACACCCGGGUAAACCAUUAAUCCAUCUGCAUAAGUUACAUCAUCGGCUGUCAUAUUUCAAGAAUUCACUACCGAUAAAUCUACUAAGAAAUUGUCGUUAAUCUUAGUAUUAAUCAACUCUAUAGCUAAAGAUAUUUCAUCGGCAGGCCCCGUCGAUCCUCAUCAGGGUACAAUCCAGACUGCUUCUUCCUACCAAAGGAAAGAGAUUGCCUUGAAACAAGUAAGCCAUCUGACUUAACCAAUUUGCACUAUUCAUACUUGUUCUUAACUGACUCAUUUUCUUUUUUCAGGAACAAGACUCCCUCGAUAGCCUAUUCUCUUUCGCCAUUGACAUUUCUGAUGAUGAAGGGGAAGAAGCAAGCUCCGCAUUGGCGCUAGGAACAGUAUCGGCAGAGGUUAGAUCUAAACUGGAGGCUCUGUUGAACCUGCUGCAACAAGACACCACUCAAUUGGUAAAUAACUCGGACCCUGCAAAGAUGAUUUUCAAAACAGUCCGCGACCAAGUCCCUGCACAUAUUGAGGAAGCACUCUUCCAGGCUGCCCAUUUGGAAAGCCGCCAGCUCCAAUAUCAAAAGGCCGCUCAACGCAUUGCCGAUAGGGCUACCUAGGCUCAACUUAAGGAAAAGAUGCUGCAACUGAAGCAUACCGCCGAUGAAAAACAUAAGAGCAUUGGUAGUUUGCAAACCUCAGGUGCUGAAUUGAAGCAAAAGAUCUCAUAAUUGUCGCCGAGGAAAGAAGCUCUACUGGUCGAGUUCAAGGAGGUCGAAGAAGCGCUGGCCCACGCCAAACAAGAGGAAAGUUAGCUGCCCGAUGCCAUCGAGGUUCUCUAGCAAGGGAGAGAUACCCAGGCCCGCAAAGCUUUGGCAAUGAAGAAGAAGCUCAAACCAGUGGAGGGCUCAGUCGAUGAAGAUAUUAAGGAGAUAGAGGAAGCUGACCAGAUUUGCCUGCAUGCGAUAUCGGCUAUCCAAUCCUUGUUAAAUUUGUAAAUUUCUUCAUCGGCAGUGCGUUGCAUCGGUGCUUUUCAGAAACAUUGAUACUUUUGUCCAGCCGAUAGGAUUGUUAUCGACAUUUAUACUCUUAUGCGUCCAUCCAAAUACUAGGGUAAUAUUUCUUCAAAUAUUUUCCAUUCAACGCUCUAGGAAAUACAACUCCUUCGAGGGUUUCUCGAAUAUACGCGUUGCCAGGAGCAGAUUGACUUAUCCGAUAAGGACCUUCGCAAUUAGGAGACCACUUGCCAAACUUUGAACUUUUAGUACCAAUCAGUAAAAUCAAUUUCCAAGCCAACUCCCAACCGGCAAAUUCCUUUACUUUCACCCUUUUGUCAUACCAUCUGGCUACUCUCCUUUUAUUUUCUUCGAUGCUAACCAAAGCCUUCAACCGAUGAUCUGCUAAAUCUUCUAACUCAUCUUUCAUUAGUGUAUCAUAGUCUUGAGAAAAUAUUCGUCUAGAGCCAGUUUUAAUUUCCCAAGGUUGUACUGCAUCGUGCCUGUAUGCCAUCCGAUAUGACCGCAGAGCCAGUAUACUAACUGGUAAGGUGACACCUUGGUUGCACCAUGACAUGCCAUCCGAUAUGACCACAGAGCUUCAUUUAGUACUGUAUGCCACCGCUUUGGAUUUUUUUCAAUCUUGCGCUUAAUGAGUUUGAUAAUUCCUUUGUUAGAAGCUUCGGCCUGACCAUUAGCUUGAGCAUAAUAAGGAGAAGAAUUUAAAACUUUAAUCCCCAUACUGAUAGCAAACUCAUCAAAUUCUCCCGAUGUAAACAUAUUACCCUGAUCGGUAAUUAUAGUUUGAGGAAUACCAAAUCGAUAAACAAUAUGCUCUUUCACAAAAUCAAUCAUAUUGGCUGAUGUUACCUUUUUCAAAGGAAUUGCUUCAACCCACUUAGUGAAAUAAUCGGUAGCAACAAGUAUAAAUUUAUGCCCUUUGCUUGAUGGUGGAUAAAUUUGAUCGAUGAGAUCGAUAGCCCAUCCCUAGAAUGGCCAAGGUUUAAUGAUAGGAUUCAUGGCCGAUGCAGGCGCUCUUUGAACAUUGCCAAACUUUUGACACCCCUGGCAUCCUUUAAAAUAUUUAAAGCAUUCAAGAAUAGUGGGCCAAUAAUAUCUAUUUCUCCUGAUCAUCCACUUCAUCUUAAAAGCUGAUUGAUGUGCCCCACACUCCCUCAUGGAUCACACCCAUCAAGCUUUUUGAUUCAUCAUUGCUAUGACAUCUGAGUAAAACUCCAUCCAAAGUUCGAUAAUAUAAUUCAUCAUCGAGGAGCACAUACUUAGUAGCUUGAAAUCUUACACGCCUUUCAACUUUCUUGGAUGGGUCCCUUAAAUAAUCGGCAAUCUCUGUUCUCCAGUCAUCGGCAUCAACUGCCGAUGUCGCCACCUCUUGGAUAAGUAGAUACCCUAAGGCGUGCUGAGCUAGCUAAUUAGCUUCUUCAUUAUGCAAUCGAGAAUAUGCUCAAGAUGGAAAUCUUUAAACUCUUUCAAUAAUUGCAAACAUCUUUCAUAAUAUAAGAUUAAAACUUCACUUCGACAUUCAUAAAUCACAAUCAACUGAUUUAUAACCAGCAUAGAAUCACCGAAGAUCUCAACGGCAUCGGUACGUAUUUCUCUAAGUAAUUCCAAUCCCUUCACCAAAGUUUGAUACUCAGCCUGAUUGUUUGUCGAUGUAACAAUAAUCAGCAAUGAAAACUCAUACUUCCUUCCUCGGGGCGAAAUUAACACUGUGCCGAUACCUGCUCUGUCACCACAGGUAGACCCAUCAAAGAAAAGCGUCCAGGGGGCAACUUCCAAAGACUUCACUGUAUUGCAAUCCUGAGUAACAAAAUCAGCUAUAAUUUGCCCCUUUACUACUUUGGCCGAUUCGUAACGUAGGUCAAAUUCUAAUAAUGCUAAAAUCCACUUGCUGAUUCUUCCACUCAAAAUCCGCAUAGACAACAUGUAUUUGACCACAUCAUCCUUGCAUAUGGCAGUGCAUUCUGCCGAUAGCAAAUAAUGUCUCAAUUUAAAAUAAGAAAAGUACAAACAUAAGCAUAAAUUCUCAAUGGCCGAAUAUCUCGCUUCAGCAUCAACCAAUCUUCUGCUCAAAUAAUAAAUAACACGCUCUUCCCUUCAAACUCUUGAAUAAGGGCUGAACCGAUAACAGUGUCAUCGGUCGACAAAUACAAUCUGAGGGGCUUUCCGUGUUGAGGCGGAACUAAUACUGGAGGGCUUGUCAAAUCUUUCUUAAUUUCAUCUAGAGCCACCUGCUGCUCAGCUCCCCAUACAAAUUCUAGAUCAGUUUUCAACUUAAGCAAUGGAUUGAAAGCUUUGAUCUUGCCCGAUAGAUUAGAUAUGAACCUUCUGAUAAAAUUAAUCUUGUCGAUCAAAGAUUGUAGUUCAGUUUUAUCGGUAGGAGAAACUACUUUGUUAAUUGCAUCAAUAGACCUCCUAUUGAUUUCAAUUUCUCUCUGAUGUAACAUAAAACCCAAGAAUGGACCUGUUGAUACACCAAAUGCACAUUUAUUAGGAUUCAUCUUCAAACCAUACUUUCUUUUGCACUCAAGUAUCUUUCGUAGAUCGGACAGAUGUUUUACAAAAUCCCCAGACUUAACUACCACAUCAUCAAUGUAGAUCUCCACUAACGUGCUGAUGAAUUCAUGAAAAAUAAAAUUCAUAGCUCUUUGAUAAGUAGCACCAACAUUUUUCAAACCAAAGGUCAUGACUAUCCAUUCAAAUAACCCAACAUGUCCUGGACAUCUAAAGACAGUCUUGGGAAUAUCCUCUUCAGCCAUAAAUAUUUGAUUGUAACUUGCAUUGCCAUCCAUAAAGCUAAUAAUUUGAUACCCAGCUGCAGCAUCGACCAAAAAUCGGCAACAGGCAUUGGAUAGCCAUCCAUCGACGUAGCCAUGUUGAGGUUCCUGAAUUCAAUGCAAGCACGAAGCUUUCCAUUUUUCUUAUAAAUAGGAACAACAUUGUAAAUCCACUCUGCGUAUCGAUAUUGCCGAAUAAACUUGGCUUCCAUUAGUUUAGUUAUUUCGGCCUUAAUAUCAGGAAGUAUAUUAGGGUUGCAUCGGUGCGCUGGCUGCUGAUGUGGCCGAAAUCUAGACUUAAUAGGUAACCGAUGCUCAACUAUUGAUCGGUCUAACCCAGGCAUCUCAGUAUAAUCCCAAACAAAGCAAUCUUUAUAUUCUUUUAACAAAUCAGUUAAUUGUUUUUUACACUUGGAAUCUAGCUUAGCACUAAUAAAAGUAGGCCUUGGCCUAUCACCGCUAUCAAUAUCUAUUUCUAUUAAAUCAUCAGCCGAUGUAAACUCCUGACCUAACUUCCCAUUAUCGGCAAACCUAUCCAUUAAGAUUCUUCUUCAGAACUGACUGUUUGGAUCGGUGUAUGAUAUGCACUUGGUUCAUUCAUAAGUAUCAGAUUCGGCCGACGCAAUAAUGUAAGAAGAAUCACCUGGGACAACCUCAAUCUUAUCUCCAACCCACUGUACGAGGCAUUGAUGCAUUGUAGAAGGAACACAACAGUUGGCAUGAAUCCAGUCCCUUCCUAAAAGUAGAUUGUAUGCACCAUUACCAUUAAUGACAAAGAACGUUGUCGGCAAGGUUUUGCUGCCGAUGGUUAAUUCAACGCAUACUGCCCCUUUUGCUGGCGACACAUUGCCCUCAAAAUCCUUCAGCAUCAUAUCGAUUUUGGUCAAAUCUUGAUCUCCUUUGCCAAGUUUCAGAUACAUCACAUAGGGCAUAAUAUUAAUUGCAUCUCCCCCAUGAAUGACUAUUUUAAACACUGGUUGCCCAUCAACUCUGCCUUUAACAAAUAAAGCCUUGAGGUGCUGUCUCUCAUCAUGGGUAGGUUUCUCAAAAACAGCCAUCAUCGGAUCUAGUGCCAACUGAGCUAUCUGAUCACAGAGAACAAUUUCUUCUUCAUCACCGGAAGGUGCGAGGAACUCCAUCAGCAACAUAAAUACCAUAUUAACAUCUGUCGAUGGACCUUUACCCUUGUAUUCUGACUGCUGCCGAUUUUUAGGCCUUUUAUUAGAAGAACUUUCCUCUCUAUACAAAUCUUCCUGACGCUUACGUUGCAUCCACCUCCUCUGUGUCUUUGUCAAGCUCUCAGGACACCAUCGAGGAAGCUUGGUUUUCUAAACCGGCUGAUAACGGGUUUUAGUUGACUCUACACGACGUAUAUUAGGAUCCCUGUACAAUAUUUCUUCAUUGGGAACCCUUGCAUUUGCCAUUUCCUCAAGCUCUUCUUCGUUCCUUAGAAAACAGCCGACAUGGCUACCAAGCCGUUCAUGCACACUGAGCCUGCCCCCCAACCGAUCAUGUACUGAUGUUCUGCCUCUGAUCGGCUCAUUAAUGGACAAACCUCGAUUAUCAGGCCGAAACCUCCCAUCUGACCGAUUGGUCUGGCAGUAACCAUUACACUCAAGACAAUUUUCAACAGUUCGCAAUUUGAUGCCUCUUUCCCAAUAGUGAAUUAAAAACGGGCAAUCCCAAUGAUCUUUAUGACGAUUCCAUUUGUUGCGUACCAUAAAAAGGGAUACCCAAAUCAGAGCAAUAAAAAACGCAAAAGACGAACUAAGCCAUCCACCAUCGCCAGGACGCAGGUCCCAACACAUCUAUCUCCUCGAUCUCGGGCCCAAAUCGCGGCUCGCCCGACCCCUUGGCCUCGGGCGCGAGUUCCAUCUCGCGCCAGGGGCUCAGACGCAGACACCGCCUCGCCCGACCCCCUUGGCCUCGGGCGUAAGUUCCGUUUCGCCCGACCCCUCCAGGGCUCGGGCGCCAACACCGCUUCGCCCAACCAGAGCAAGUCUUCCAACUCACGGCGCUCGUACCCACGAAGUGACAGGCGCGGUGACACCCACAUCGCAGCAGGGCAUGGUGGCAACUAUUCCAACCACCCUGGACACUGUAACCUUACCUCUUUUACUGUGGUGUACCGCCUCAGAGUAAAAGAGGAAUGGGAGAGGUUAAUCAACACCACUAUUUGUUGUCUUCUCUCACUAUUAACAUGACAGUCUGCAGUAUCACAGACCCGACCCCCAUGACUCCAACAGGGCUCGGUAACCCUCCACAGGAGCAGCCAUGCCAUCAGCCAUACCUCAAGGACGGGAUGGGCGAGUCUCUACAGGGUCGGGACUAUGGAUCCACCUCUCAGCAGAGGAAUUUUCCAAUGACUCAUGUAAAGCCCUGCCUCCCCUUGAGGCUAUAAAAGGGGAGCCAGGGCUCAUGUCCAAGACAGGUUCUGCAACAAGCCCAAACACACAGCACACACACACACCAAGACUCCAAGCUAGUCCACACACAGAGUAGCAACCGGCGCUCUGUCCACACCACAAAGUCGAGACUUGGGACCUAGCCCUCUCUCGCAACUUGCUUGUACUCCCCUACUACAAGCACCUUUGGGUGCAAGGCAAUAUAGAUCCCCGACCUCACUGGACGUAGGGCACCCUUAGCCCGAACCAGUAUAAACCCUCUGUGUUCCACUUGCAUCACCAUCCAGGCUUAGGCAGUCACGCAAAUUCACGCUCGUUUGUGUCUAUACCAUGAGUCUAGACGCCGACAGUUGGUGCGCCAGGUAGGGGCCUUUUGCGUGACAUUCACCUUUUCCUACUAGGGAAGGCCUGGAUGGCACACGGAUUUCACCCACUCCGCCGUGGCACCAUCAUGAGGUUUGGGAGUUUGGAGUUCAUGUCCCUCGGCUCCGACUAUGAUAUGGUCCUCCUCCCGCCACGUGGUGACGUCGAGCCUUGCCCCGAGCCGAUCCCACCACAGUUAGUGCGUGGGAGGCGCUCGGGACACCAUACGGGGGCUGCCCGGCGGGGGCGUCAGAGGUCCAGGAUCUCUGACCCUACCACUGAGGCGAGGGUCCGUCCGGCCCUCCCCCCGCAUAUUCCUCACCAGAUCGCCCACUCCUCUGGCUCGACACGCGCUAGAGGAAGGGCCCGUGGAGCAUCAAGCUCCGUUCCACAGACCAAUAGGGGAUCAUCACGACCUCCUGUUCCUCCACGAUCAAAGGGGAAGGCACGGCUCCCGCCCGCUCCCCAGAAGAGAGACAAAGGGGCCUCAUCAUCUCGUCCCCCUCCACCUACGGAUGGAGGAGAGACAGCGGCACCUCCCGAGCUCCCUUUCGGGCUUAGGAACGCAGCCGCUACUUACGCCUCUUCCGUGAGCACUUCAGUAAGUGUGUACGCGGAUCUUCUAGGGCACCACCUCAGGUCCACCCUAGAUCUCAUUGCUUCCCCGCCCGUAUCGUCAUACCCUGAGGAUCCCACCUCAGGCGAUGACGAGUGGGCCGGCGCUGACUUUUCCGGGUGUGGCGACCCAGAGACCUUCAUGCGCUUCUUGGAGGCCAGCAACUACUGCCUCGGCUACUCCGACUCUAACGACGGCGGAUACGACCCGUCACGAGAGUGCUUCAACCGUGAGGUCGGAGCAGCGUCCCCCCACGCUCAAGGGGGUGCAGGACCCUCUAGGCAGGGGAACGCCACUCCGCCUCCCAACCCGACUCCCGAGAUCCAUCCUGGAACCCGUGGAGCUGCCUCAGCUCCGCCAGGAGGACAGCGCCCUGACCUCGAGCAGCUCAAUGAGUUGGAGGCCAGGCUCGAAGAAGAGCGCGUACGCCUCCGCCAACUCCGCGAGACCCUGGUCCAAGAUCCAUCCGGCCGCGGGGAUGGGGGCGAGGCCAGACGCCGUGCCAGGGACGUCAACCGCCGCAUCAUCGAGGACGAAGGAGGUGACAACCCCCCAGUCUUCAGUACGGCUAGCCAGAAUGUGAUGGCUGCCGCGCUCCUCCUCAAAGCGACGCCCGAGCCAUCGACUCUUGAGGGAAGAGUGCGCCAGGGGCUACGUGGCCUCCUAGAGCAAGCUGUGGUGCAGAACGCAGAAAGUUCUGCAUCACAGUCUCACGGCACAAGACGCCAAGGGGAGUGACCCCCUUCUAAACAAGGUGCCAAUGGUACAGGGACCGCCGCCCCCUAACCAGCAAGGGGGCAACAGGGCCCCAUCUUUCCACGAACGUGUCGGGGCCGAUGCGGACAUCCGGGCCACCCUAGAGGCCAGACGACGUGACAGGGACAAGGCCGAAUCUCGACGCUACCGACCAUGCCGAGGCGGAAGGUACGACCCAGACCACGACCGCAGCACGUCGCCUGAACCUCCGGGCCCCCGCGUCUUCAGCGAAGCCAUACGCAGGGCCAAAUUCCCGGCGCGAUUCCGACAGCCCACCAACCUCACCAAAUACUCCUGGGAAACCAACCCUGAGCUCUGGCUGUGGAUUACCGCCUAGCAUGUAAGCUAGGUGGAGCGGACGAUGACCUGCUCAUCAUCCGCAACCUCCCACUGCACCUGGCCGAUACGGCCAGAGCAUGGCUUGAGCAUCUCCCUGAGCGCAUGAUCCACGACUGGGCCGACCUGGUCAAGAUCUUCGUUGGGAACUUCCAGGGCACAUAUGUGCGCCCUGGGAACUCUUGGGACCUCAGGAGCUGCCGGCAGAAGCCCGAUGAGUCCCUCCGCGACUUCAUCAGGCGAUUCUCCAAGCAGUGCACCGAGCUCCCCAACAUCAUGGACUCCGAUGUCAUCGGAGCCUUCAUCUCUGGUACCACAUGCAAGUAACUGGUACACGAGCUCGAUCGAAAGACCCCCAUGAGCACUAGCCAGCUGCUCGACAUCGCCACCAACUUUGCCUCAGGCGAAGAGGCAGUUGGGGCUAUCUUCUCCGACGGCACGGCCAAGGGGAAACAAAAAGCCACCGAGGCCACCAAGGCCUCGGGCUCACGCGACCCCAAGAAGAAGAAGAAGGGUCGCAAGGGGAAGCAGGGUCAGUCGGACGACAACCUAAUCGCCGCAGCAGAUCGCAAGAACCCCAAGCGGGCUCCUGCUGGCCCCGGCCUCUUCAUCGAGAUGUUGAAGAAGCCGUGUCCCUAUCACAGGGGACCAACCAAGCACACCCUUGAGGAGUGCACUGUCCUUCGUCGGUAUUACACCGACAUCAUAACCAAGGAGGGCGCUGAAGAGCCCCCUAAGGACGGUGACCCUCAGGGGGAAGGCUUCCCCAAGGUCAAGAACUAUCUCUUGAUCGUUGGGGGACGUGCGGCUCACCUCACUAUGAGUCAGAGGAAGCGCGAACUCCGAGAAGUUUGCGCAGUCGCCACCGCCGCACCCUCGUACCUCAAGUGGUCCGAGAGCGCGAUCACUUUCGACCGACGGGAUCACCCAGAUCGGAUCCCCAAUCCUAGGAGCUAUCCUUUGAUCGUCGACCCCAUCAUCGCCGAGACUCGUCUCACCAAGUGUUGAUGGACGGAGGCAGCGGCCUCAACAUCCUUUAUGCCGAGACUCUGGCCCUCAUGGGGUUCAGCAAGUCCCGGCUAAGGAAUGACACAUCGCCAUUCCACGGAGUGGUGCCGGGACAUCGAGCCCACCCCCUCGAGUAGAUUGAUCUGCCCGUCUGCUUUGGGACCCCCGACAACUUCAGACAGGAGGUUCUCACAUUCGACGUGGUCGGGUUCCCAGGAACCUACCACGCAAUCCUAGGGCGACCUUGUUACGCCAAGUUCAUGGCCAUCCCCAACUACACCUACCUCAAGCUCAAGAUGCCAGGGCCAAAGGGCAUCAUCACCGUCAGCACGACCAGCCAGCAUGCCUAUCAGUGCGACGUUGAGUGCAUUGAGCAAGCCGAGGCCCUGGCUGAGUCUCUGGCUAUUCUCACUGGCCUCGGCGAUGGUGACCAGGACAUCCCCGACCCCAAGCGGCACGCCGGGAGCUUCGAGCCGGCAGAGGAGACCAAGCUUGUCUUCCUCGACCCCGGGACAUCUGAGGGCAGGGCGUUGAGGAUCAGCUCCAGCCUCGACCCCAAAUAGGAAGUGGUGCUCGUCGACUUUCUCCGCGCAAAUGUUGACAUAUUUGCGUGGGGUCCCUCGGACAUGCCUAGCAUACCGAGGGAAGUCGCCGAGCACUCCUUGGACAUCUGGGCCGGCUCCAAACCCGUGAAGCAGCGCCUGUGCCGAUUCGACGAGGAGAAGUGCCGGACCAUCGGGGAGGAGAUCCACAAGUUGCUGGCAGCCGGAUUCAUCAAGGAGGUAUUCCAUCCCGAGUGGUUAGCUAACCCUGUACUAGUCAAAAAGAAAAAUGGGAAGUGGAGGAUGUGUGUAGACUAUACUAGUUUAAAUAAAGCAUGUCCUAAGAACCCCUUUCCAUUACCUCGUAUUGACCAGAUAGUUGACUCCACUGCGGGAUGUGAAGUUUUAUCUUUUCUUGAUGCUUAUUCCGGUUACCACCAAAUCAAGAUGAAAGAAUCCGACCACCUCGUGACUUCUUUCAUCACCCCUUUCGGAAUGUAUUGCUACGUAACCAUGCCCUUCGGCCUUAAGAACGCGGGUGCUACAUACCAGCGAUGUAUGCACCAGGUCUUUGGGAACCUCAUAGGCAAAACGGUAGAGGCUUACAUAGACGACAUUGUUGUCAAAUCCAGGAAAGCAAGCGGCCUAGUUGCUGACCUGGAAGAAACAUUCCGAUGCCUCAGGGCAAAGGGGAUCAGGCUCAACCCCAAAAAAUGCAUUUUCGGGGUCCCCCGAGGCAUGCUCCUUGGGUUUAUUGUGUCUGAGCGAGGGAUCGAGGCCAACCCAGAAAAGGUCUCGGCCAUCGCAAACAUGGGCCCAAUUCGUAACCUAAAGGGAGUACAGAGAGUCAUGGGAUGUCUAGCCUCCCUAAGUCGUUUCAUCUCUCGUCUCGGGGAGAAAGCACUACCUCUGUAUAGGUUACUUAGGAAAUCCGAGCAUUUUUCCUGGACCCCCGAGGCCCAGGAAGCCCUUGACAAGCUCAAGGCUCUACUCACCAACCCUCCCAUUCUGGUACCUCCCGCCGAGGGGGAACCAUUGCUUCUCUAUGUCGCAGCCACUGAUCAGGUGGCUAGCGCAGCUAUCGUGGUCGAAAGGAAGGAAGAGGGGCACACCCUACCGGUCCAAAGACCGGUGUACUUCAUCAGUGAAGUACUGUCUGACACAAAGACCCAAUACCCCCAAAUCCAAAAACUACUCUACGCAGUAGUCCUGGCCCGACGCAAACUUCGCCAUUACUUUGAGUCCCAUCCUGUCUCGGUAGUAUCAUCUUUCCCUCUGGGGGAAGUGAUACAGAACCGAGAGGCUAAUGGUAGGAUUGCUAAGUGGGCUAUAGAACUUAUGGGUGAUGGGAUCACCUAUGAGCCUCGGAAGGCUAUAAAAUCCCUAGUCCUAGCGGAUUAUGUGGCAGAGUGGACUGGGACUCAACUCCCCCCACCUCAGAUCCAGCACGAGUGCUGGACCAUGUACUUCGACGGGUCCUUGAUGAAAACCGGGGCCAGCGCUGGCCUUGUCUUCAUCUCACCCCUCGGGGUAAGAAUGCGAUAUGCGAUCCGACUCCACUUCCCCGCCUUGAACAACGCGGCGGAGUACGAGGCCCUUGUCAACGAUCUCCACGCCGCGAUCGAGCUUGGGAUCAAAUGGCUUGACGUCCAAGGUGACUCUAGACUCAUCAUCGACCAAGUCAUGAAAGAGUCUAGCUGCCACGAUCCCAAGAUGGACGCGUACUGCAAAGCAGUCCGGCGCCUGGAGGAAAAGUUCGACGGCCUUGAGCUUAACCAUGUGUUAAGAAAAUACAAUGAGGCCGCCAACGCGCUCGCUAAGAUGGCAUCCGAACGGGCCACGGUCCCUCCGGAUGUUUUUGUCAGCGACCUCUACAAGCGUUCUGUCGACUAGAAGGACGACGUGGGGUCGGUUAAGCCCCCAAGCGAACUAAGCCCCACCCCCGAGGUCUCCACCGCUCAGAAGCAGGAGGCCAUGGACAUCGAGCCCAAGCCCCCAGCACCUGAUGACUCACCAGACUGGCGCUACCCACUACUGCAAUGCCUCGUCGACGGCACUUUGCCCUCUGACCAGGCUGAGGCUCGGCGUGUGGCUCGUCGAGCCAAGACUUUCACCCUCCUCGACGGAGAGAUGUACAAGCAUAGCCCCUCGGGCAUCCUUAUGCGCUGCAUCCCACGUCAGGAAGGAAUCAAGCUCCUGAGGGACAUACACUCGGGGGCUUGCGGCCACCAUUGUUGGGUAUUCUUAACAUCAUUACUAAAAGUAGACUAAGUUCUCUAAAUCUAGCAACGGUGCCAAAAAUGCCAAACCUAUCCCUUACACCACUUAAGCCAAGUUGUCAUCCCCAGCAUGAUAUAAGAGACGCGGUAUUGAAAUAUGCAAUUGCUCUUCUAAAUAAAUAAUUAAUGGGAUCUGCAAGCGCACAGAUUAAUACCGAUGUAGCAUUUUAACCGGGAAGUAUUCCAGGUAUCGUUAUUUAUAUUUUUACCACUGGGAAGGGAUUAGCAAUCAUCACUAUUGAUUACAGAAUAGAAUAUGAGAUUGAGCAACUAUCAUUGCAUGUAUAAUUGAGAACAUUAUAUCUAACUCUUCAUACAGGGAUAAGUGUCACAUAAAAGAUAUAUGAAAUAAUAAUAGUGACAAGGAUAACUAAUCUGAUCUAGCCACAUAAUAAAUAUGAUAAGCACCUCAAUUAGAUACUCUAGAAAGUCAUUAGCAUGGUAUUAGAACGAACUACAAGAAUAUUCCCUAAGUUAUUCUUAACUAUAUAGUCUAGCAUAUCAUAGUUAGUGCAAGCAUACUUAGCAAUCAUUGCGAGACAAGACUACGCCCAUGCAUAGUGAUAUUAGCAAGGAAUAUGAGAAACAUAGCAAUCACUCCCCUGUAAUAAUGUUGCUCUGCCAGCCCAAUACACGAGAGGGGGACUAUAUAAGAAUCAAUGAAGCUGUCACUAUCACGAACUACCCCACGAUCUGGCAUAUUGGGUACAAUCGCAGAUAAAUACGGUAUAAGCACCACGCCUACACAAUAUCUAUCAUUUACCCAUGGAUCCGAUGGAUAAACGCUAUACGAUCCUAAGCAUGUAUAUAGAUCGUAUCUAACUAAGCCAAGUACAUAACUAUGAUAAACUAAGAACAAUAUAAUCUUGAAUAUAAGCAAGUAGAGCAAAGUCAUAAGCAAUAUAUUGAAGUAGAACAAAGUCAUAUUCAUAAUAUUGAAGAACAAAGAUAAUUAGAAAGCAAUUAGAAGCACAAUUAGAGAAUUACCAAGAAUCCUCCUGACAGAUCCGGAAACCAAUCGAAGAUUGACUCCUUCUAGUUCUAAUCCUAUGUAGCUAUGCUAAUCUAGAUAUCUAAUUGAUGUGGUGGCUCUAAUCUUGAUCAGAGGCUUCUUCUCCCUUGAUGGAACAAUGAAUUAGGGUUGAGAGGCUCUCUCCUCCAGGGGCCAGGGGGUCUGGUUUUAUAGUCCCUUCAAGUGAAUAUGGGCCCUUGGAUCAAACCGACAUAGAUUGUAUGGUUUAGAUUCAUCCUUUAGGUCGGUGGAGACUUCCCGCAAAGCAGAGUCCUGGUUGGACUCCAGAGGUGGGCAGGCGCCCUGACCAACUAGGCGGCCGCCCAGGGUCUGGCCCCGUUUCGCCUCCGCUUCGGUCUCGUGGCUUCUGGAGUCUUCUAGAUGUAAGAUAAUUGCGCAGCACGUUAAUAUCUUUACGUAAUCCUGACAUGUGGGCCUUUCUUCCAUAUUUCCUGAUAACUCCCUGCAGAAAUAGACAAACACCAAAACUCGUGGAAUUCUGUCAGAUAAAACCCUAAGUCUAGAUCUUUAUUUCAUUUGGAUCCUUUUCUUUAUUUAUUUGAUAAUUAAAUUUGAUACUUAAGGACCGUCAACAACCAUCUCGAACGCUGGUAGGAAAUGCCUUCCGACAAGGUUUCUACUGGCCCACCGCCGUUGCUGACGCCACGGAAAUCGUGCGGACCUGUGAGGGAUGCCAAUUUUACGCUCGGCAAAUUCAUCUCCUCGCUCAGGCUCUGCAGACGAUCCCCAUCACCUGGCCCUUUGCAGUCUAGGGUCUCGACCUCGUCGGGCCUCUGCAAAAGGCGCCCGGGGGCUUCACCCACUUGCUUGUCACAAUCGACAAAUUCUCCAAGUGGAUUGAGGUCCGACCCAUCAGAAGGAUCAAGGCCGAACAAGCAGUGCUGUUCUUCACGGAUAUUAUCCAGCGAUUUGGAGUGCCAAACUCCAUGAUCACCGAUAACGGCACACAGUUCACUGGGCGAAAGUUCCUGUAGUUCUGUGACAGACACCACAUACGUGUGGACUGGGCAGCAGUGGCUCACCCAAAGACCAAUGGUCAGGUGGAGCGUGCCAAUGGCAUGAUCCUCUAGGGUCUGAAGCCUAGGAUUUUUAACCGGUUGAACAAGUUCGGAAAAAAGGUGGCUCAAAGAGCUACCGGCCGUGGUCUGGAGUUUAAGGACUUCACGAAGCCGAGCCACAGGCUUCACCCCGUUUUUCAUGGUCUAUGGGUCAGAAGCCGUCCUCCGCACGGACCUGGAGUACGGGUCCCCAAGGGUACAAGCCUACGACGAAAACAGCUGCAAGACGUACCAAGAAGACGCGCUGGACCAGCUGGAUGAAGCCAGAGACGUAGCCCUCCUACACUUUGCCAAGUACCAGCAGGCCCUCCGCCGAUACCACGCGCGACGAGUCCGAGGCCGAGCCUUUCAAGUUGGCGACUUGGUGUUGAGGCUCAGGCAGAGCAACAAGGGUCGUCACAAGUUCACGCCCCCCUGGGAAGGACCCUUCGUCAUCGGCGAAGUCCUCCGACCCGGCACCUACAAGCUCGCCAACGAAGCAGGGGAAGUCUUCAAGAACACGUGGAACAUAGAACAGCUACGUCGCUUCUACCCUUAGGAUUUUGUAAAAAUUUCCAUUUGUUCAUCACCUUGAAAGAAUAAAUGAAAAUUCAAGUUAUAUGACUGUUUCUUUUGAGUGAGCCUCGGACCUGCCUUGCAGAAUCCGAUCCUCCCUCGAGGGCUACAUGGGGGGAACCCCCUAUGGCAACUCCGAAUCUUUUUUCCUUUUCGCACAAGUCAAAAGAACCCCGACCCAGGGUCUUUCUCCCGUUUCCUAAAAAGAUUUAAGAAACUGAAGAUCCAUCACCUAAACCUUAAGGCAUGAGCCCGAGGAAAGAUCCACGCUCACGAGCAAAGACGACCUCUACUCGCCUUAGGGUCGGGGGGGGGGCAGAUCCGGACUUCUAAAAAAUUACUAAGGAAAAAGGAAAAGGACCCUGGCUAGCGCAGACUCUAAGUAGCUCACCCGACCCCACGCUGCCGAGGUCAGGUCGGCAUAAGGAAAAAGAAACAAGAUAACCAAGAAAAAGCUUAAAAGGAACAAUCAUACAACCGAUCAUACUUAGCAUUAAUGUUGUAUAUACACAAUACAAGGCUGUUGGGUAUUUUAAACACAAACAGAAAAAAUCCGCAAGCGCACGGAUACCGAUGUAGCUUUCACCCGGGAGUGUUCCAGAGUAUCGAUUUUCCACAGAGAGCGUGAGUGUACUAAUUAAGAUCCAAGAUUGCCCAAGGAUAACUAUAUAAUUAUUUUUGGUGGGAAGAGAGGAUGUUUCCUGAGAGUUCUCUAUUUGAUCUAAGAAUCAAGAAUUACUUCAAGAUUAUCUAUAUCGGGACAUCAGAGCACUAACCACAGAAAGAGAUGAGAAGGGGGCUAGGAAGGUCUGACUACGGUCCUACAAACGCUGAUCCGAACAAGGUGGAAUACGUCGACCGUUAGAGCUGUCACUACCCUAAGGCUACCACAACAAUCCGCAGGAUUGGGUGCAAUUCCAGGUAAUUACAAGACUAAACACCAUGUCUAAUCUAUUAAUUACUACUCUAAUGUUUCAAAGAUUAGAGCUCUUGAUGCAAGUGGAAAUCCAAUAAAUAACUUGAAUGUAAAUAAAAGUAAUUAAAGAACUCAGGAAUUAUGAAUUGAAGAACCUGGAGAACGAUGAAGAACGAACCAGUUGCUGCAAAGGUACAAUGUUGAGGAAGAUCCGACAGAUCCGGCUCCUCCUCCGCUCUCCUCUUCUCUCUCCCUAUUUUCUAGAUUACAACUAGAACUAACUAGAACUAGAACUAGAGGAACUAGAACUAGAACUAGAUGAACUAGAACUAGAACUAGAUGAACUAGAGGUAGAACUAGAAGAACUAGAGGGAUCCUCUCUACUUGGAUGAAGAAUUGAAACCCUAACUUUGAUUCUGUAGAAGAGGUAUGAUCUCCAGGGGCCAGGGGGCCUUGCUUAUAUAGUCUUUUCAAAUGAAUCUGGGCCGUUGGAUCAAACCAACAUUGAUUGAACGGUUAUCCUUGAUCCUUUAGGUUCGUGGAGCAAUAUCCCGAAAGAGAGUCCUGAUUGGACUCUAUGUGAGGGCGGGCGCCUAGGAAAGGAGGGCGGGCGCCCUGUCCCUGAGUCCUCUCGGUCUUCGCUUCGUUCCUGUGAGUUCUGGAGUCUUCUAGAUGAUAGAAAAUUGCACGGCACGUUAAUAUCUCUAUGUAAACCCGACGUGUGGGCCUUUCCUCCGUAUUUCCUGAUAACCCCCUAUAGAAAUAGACAAACACCAUGUUGACACCGUUUUUUGGACACGUGCACAGAAACCGGUAGAGUACAAGAUCGGCAGGCGGAGCAACGGUAACUAGACUGUGGAAGCAUUGCCGAUGAAGAAAGUUGCCGAUGAAGGGGCGGUUGGAUAUGGCUAAGUCCGGAAGUGAUAGCGUAUUCCUAACCGAUGACUAGUAUCAAUGUUUGCCGAUGGCGAUAGCAGGGAGGUUGCCGAUGGCUCUGCAGGAGUUGCCGAUUGACCCGUGGUGGUGUCCCGAUUACUUAGUUAUCUAGAUUUGUUUUGUAUACGGGCUCUGUUUAAUUUGGAAUUUGAAUCCUAGUCGUGUCUGAUUGUAGCUCUUUGAGCAGGGUAUAAAUGUAGACCCUAGGGCCUUGUAAUGAAUAAUCUAUCAAUCAAUCAAACACAAGUUUUUACUCAUAUUCCAGCAUCUACUUUUUUGACGACUUCGUCAUAUUUUCCUUUUACUACGAGUUCUUAGGAGUUCGUCGACUUAAGUUCGGUGUAUUCUCAAGUUCCGCGUGAAUACCUCUUGGCCGUGACAUCCGGGCGCAUCGCUGUUGUCGGGACCAAAGUAUUCGAGUUAUCACCUUUGCCGAUAGUAAGGUCAAAUCGGCUGGCACGCCUUAACGUUCGAAUCAGGUAUUAGCCCUUUGUGUUUGCAGAUCCGUUUUUGCAUCAACACAUCUUUUGGCACGCCCGGUGGGACCAAAUCAAGAUUUAGAUUAGCAUGGCGAAUACCGAGUUCGACUUGGAGAAUGUCAUCCCCGUGACGGAAGCCAAUCUCAAGGAUAAGCAGAAGCAAGCCAUUGCAAAAGCCAUGGAGGACUACAAGCAGCAAUGUUUGAAGUCUUUUAGUAUCAACAGGAGUGGCGAGGUGAUCCAGAAGGAGGCACUGCCGGCACCUCGGCAGGUUACUUUCGACGCCAAUCCUGGUAAACUCCAAUACAUGGUUGAUAGUGCUAUUAACCGUGUCUUGAUCAAUCAAGCUGGUGUGCUGUCCAAUACGGUUUUCAACGCCGUGGCUAGAACUUUCAAAGAAGGACAAUUGCCACCAAAUUAUGUGGGCCCUGUCUAUCAUCAGCCGGGAUCACCGGUGGUUACAGCUCCAUCGGAUGCUACAGCCGCUGCGGGCACAGAAACUAUUGUCCCUCCAAGCACGUUAGGAGUCACUAACGCGCAAUCUACGCCGAUGACGACCAAUCCAUUGACUUCAGAUGGGCAGAUCAAGCUUGCUACAGAUCUAUUGGCAUCGGUGAUGUCUGGAUCGGUUCCUCCUCCUAACUGGUGGGGUUAUGGUAUGCCCCUAGAGCUGACAUUGAAGACACCUGGCACGUCUCAGAUGGCUGAUUUGAGGGGCAAGGUUCCUAUGACAUCGGCAGCCCCAAAUUUGCUGAUGAGUCAGAGUCCCCAAUAUAAUACAACUACUAAUGCAAGGCCUUACACUGAGAAUUCUCAAGCUCCAACGUUCCAGAUGCCUAAUGCAUCGGUAGAUUCAAUGCCGACGCAAUAGAGGUUUAUGGCUCAGUCAGGGCAUGUCAAUUCUAUGACGAUGCCCAAUUACCAGACAUCGGCAGGGUCUAUGCCGAUGAAUGUUAAUGGUGGAUGGACUGUGCAGCAAGUCUUUCCACAAAUACCCCAACAGAAUCAUCAGGCUACAGGGUUUCAAUAAGGCCAGAUUUACCCUGGGUUCCAGAAUCAAGGAUUAGCCAACCAGCCAAUGAACCUUGGUGGUCAGCAGUUCGGUGGUCAGCAGUUUGGUGGUCAGCAGAUUGGUGGCCAAAUGAUUAACCUAAUGUUCCAUGCAGAUCACGCACCGCAUAGACACGUGGAAGUAUAUCAGUAGGUGCCGGAUCCGCAACCACCCCAUCGGCAGGAUGCCGAUGCUUAUUGGGCCGAUAAGAUUGCUGAAGUAAUGAGAGACCAAUUUGGGAUAAAACCCAAAGUCAACACUUAUUCUUAUCGGACACCGUAUCCUCCUGCAUAUGAUUUAAUCCCACUUCCAAAUCGGUACAAGGUGCCAGUUUUUACUAAGUUUUCUAGACCGGAUGACACAUCAACCAUGGAGCAUGUCAACAGGUUCAUCAUCCAAUGUGGAGAAGCUGCUAAUAGGGACGAGUUAAGGGUUCGCUUGUUCUCGUCAUCAUUAUCUGGAUCGGCUUUCACUUGGUUUAUAUCAUUACCUCCCAACUCAGUGAUUACUUGGGCCGAUCUGGAGAAACAGUUCCACAAAUACUUCUUUUCUGGAGUCCAUGAGAAGAAGAUCACCGAUUUGGUCAAAUUGAAGCAACGCAAUGAUGAAUCAGUUGAGAAUUUUGUGCAGAGGAUAUGGGUGGUCAAGAACAAAUGUUAUAGUCUGGUUUUGGACGAUCGGCAGCUAGCCGAUUUGGCUUUCCAGGGUUUGUUGCCGCACAUCAGGGACAAGUAUGCUUCUCAGGAGUUUGAAAGCUUAAGUCACUUGGUACAGAGAAUUUCUGAUCAAGAUAUUAGACCUUUUGAACCCAAGAGAGCAUGGAAUAAAAAGGUAUCGUUCGUUGAUGAAGCAGCAAGCUCGGAUUCUGAUGAGGAACCAGUCAUCGGCUUGGCAGAAUGGGUGAAAAAUAAGAAACCAAUGUCUUGUCCUUUUGGGCAUAACGAGCCAGAGAAGUUUGCGUUUGACAUCACCAAAGCCGAUAGGAUAUUCGACUUUCUACUUCAAGAAGGUCAGAUCAAGCUGUCACCCAAUCAUGUGAUUCCAUCAGCCAAAGAAUUAAAGAAGAUGAAAUAUUGCAAGUGGCACAAUGCAACUUCUCACAGCACCAAUGAGUGCAAAGUUUUCAGGCAACAGCUGCAAUCGGCUAUUGAAUCUGGGAGAAUCAAGUUUGAUAGUUCUAAAGCUCAGAAGCCGAUGAAGAUUGAUCAACACCCUUUUUCGACAAACAUGUUGGACGCUAAGGGGAAAACUAAGGUGCUGACGUCAGAAGCAGCUGAAAGAAAUGCAUCGGUUGAUCGUCAACAUCAGAUUACCACUGCCGAUGCUAAAGGAAAGGGUUUGAUCCGGGAGGGAUCCAAUUUAGGAAGGCCUCCCCGAUCUGGUAUUGUGAUAACUCAUAGAAUGCCUCGGGAGACUUGGCAGCAACAUGAAGAUCGGUAUCAGCGCCAGCAAGAAGAUUAUCAUCGGGAAGAAGAAAGACGCCGAUGGGAGUUGAAUCGGCACAAGGAUCACUGGAACUGCCCGUUCUUUGUCCAUUGCUGGGAGCAGAACAUUAAAUUACCUACUGUUGAAGAUUGCCCUGAGUGCAAUGGUUAUAAUCGGCAUGGCAGAUCUGAUCGGUGCCAUCAUGAUAACGAUCGGCGAUUUAAUGGGCCGAUUAGGGGGAGAGCAUCGGUUCAUGAUCGGCUGGGGGGGCAGACUCAGUGUACACGAUAGGCUUGAUGAUCGUGUUGGAUAUUUUCCCAUGGAUCAGGAAGAACUUGAGGAGAUGGCUAAUGCACAAGUUCCCGAUGAGUUCAUAUUUUGCAGGGAUGCUAAUACUCAUCGGAUGGAGUUGAGGGAACAUCGUUGUCCAUCGGCAAGGCAGUCACCCCUUCCCCCAUGGUGUCCAGAGGGAUUGACCAAGACACAGAAGAGGAGACUGCAACACGAGAGACGAGAAGAGCUAAGCAAGGGUGAGAAUUCUGGCCAGUCUGGGGAUCAGCAACAAUCAGACCCUAAGGGAAAAGGGCCAUCGGCAGGUGUUAACAUGGUAUUUAUGUUGCCGAUGGAAUUCCUUGCGCCCUCUAGUGAUGAUGAAGAGUUGGGGUUUUCCGACCAGAUAGCUCAAUUGGCUCUAGAUCCGAUGACAGCCAUCUUCGAAAAGCCUGCCGACAACGAAAGGCAGCAUCUUAAAGCUCUGUUUGUCAAAGGGAGAGUUGACGGUCAGCCCAUGACCAAGAUAUUGAUUGAUGGAGGAGCUGCUAUCAACAUCAUGCCGUAUACAGUCUAUCGGAAGCUUGGAAAAGGAGAUCAAGAUUUAACCAAGACCGAUAUGAUGCUCAAAGACUUUGAAGGGAACGUGUCUCCAGUCAAAGGAGCAAUAUGCGUCGAAUUGACCAUCGGCAGCAAAACCUUGCCGACAACUUUCCUCGUGAUCAGCGGAAAAGGUGCCUAUAAUUUGCUGCUAGGGAGAGAUUGGAUUCAUGCCAAUUGUUGCAUCCCAUCUACAAUGCACCAAUGCUUGGUACAAUGGGUAGGUGACAAGAUUGAGAUUGUCCCAGGAGAUUCUUCCUAUGUUAUUGCAUCAGCAGACGCAGAUACUUAUGAAAGGACUAGGUGCAUCUCGGGAGAAAUUUGGGAGAAGGAUUUCCUCAGAGUCGCCGAUUAUGAAAUUCCACCGAUCCAAGGAGUCGUUUCUGAUGAGGAGUUUUAAUGGAUAUGUUCGCCGAUGAUGGAAAAUUAGGCCAAGGAUUCACAUCGGCCGAUGAUUUGGUAGAAGUAGAUAUAGGUAGUGGUGAUAAACCGAGACCUACUUUUAUUAGUGCUAAGUUGAGUUCUGAGUGUAAGCAGCAGUUAACCGAUCUGUUAAAGGAAUAUAAAGAUUGCUUUGCUUGGGAUUAUACUGAGAUGCCUGGUUUAGACUGAUCAAUUGUUGAACAUCGGUUACCCAUCAAGUCUGGAUUUCAGCCGCAUCAACAGCCAGCUCGCCGAUGUAAUCCUAAUAUUCUUCCUGAUAUUAAGGCCAAAAUAACCAGACUUAUUGAAGCUAAAUUUAUUCGGCAAUGUUGGUAUGCCGAGUGGAUUUCCAAUGUUGUUCCAGUUUACAAGAAAAAUAGGAAGCUUCGGGUUUGCAUUGAUUUCAGGAAUCUUAAUAAAGCUACGUCGAUGGAUGGUUACCCGAUGCCGGUUACCGAUCUGCUAGUUGAUGCUGCGGCUGGGCAUCGGGUCAUUAGCUUUAUGGAUGGCAAUGCAGUAUUCAUGGCUGAAGAAGAUAUCCCAAAAACUGCAUUUAGAUGUCCUGGUCAUGUUGGGCUGUUUGAGUGGAUAGUCAUGACCUUUGGCUUGAAAAAUGCUGGUGCUACUUAUCAAAGGGCCAUGAAUUUUAUAUUUCACGAGUUCAUCGGCAAGCUGGUGGAGAUUUAUAUUGAUGAUGUGGUGGUUAAAUCUGGGGAUUUCACAAAGCAUCUUGCCGAUUUGCAAAAAGUGUUGGAAUGCACAAGAAAACAUGGUUUGAAGAUGAAUCCUAAUAAGUGUGCAUUUGGUGUAUCGGCAGGACAGUUUCUUCGUUUCAUGGUACAUCAAAGAGGGAUUGAGAUUAGCAGAAGAUCCAUUGAUGCUAUCAACAAAAUAGUUGCUCCUACCAACCAAACUGAGCUCCAGUCCUUGAUCGGCAAGGUGAAUUUUAUCAGAAGGUUUAUAUCUAAUUGCUCUGGUAAAAUCCGUGCUUUCAGUCCUUUACUCAAAUUAAAAGCCGAUCAAGAAUUCGUAUGGGGAAAAGAGCAACAGUUGGCCCUAGAUGAAAUCAAGAAUUAUUUGGUGAAUCCUCCGGUUCUGAUUCCACCUCAGCAAGGAAAGCCCUUCAGAUUGUAUUUGUCUACCGAUGGGAUGGUCAUCGGUUCAGCUUUGAUUCAAGAGUUUGAAGGGAAGGAGCGUGUUUAUUACUUAAGCAGAAGGUUGAUUGAUACUGAGACCAAGUAUUCGGCUAUUGAGAAACUAUGCUUAUGUUUGUAUUUCUCCUGUAUUAAGUUAAGACAUUAUUUGCUAUCGGCCGAAUGCACUGUUGUUUGCAAAGAUGAUGUGGUCCAAUAAAUGCUAUUUAUGCCGAUCAUGAGUGGUAGAAUCGGUAAGUGGAUUUUUGCAUUGUCGGAAUUCGAUCUGCGUUACGAAUCGGCUAAAGCGGUUAAAGGACAAGUUAUGGCCGAUUUUGUGACUCAACAUUGCGGUACAGUGGAAACUUUGGAAAUCGUACCUUGGACACUCUUCUUUGAUGGAUCCACGUGUGAUUGGGGGGCAGGAAUCGGCAUAGUGCUAAUUUCCCCUCAGGGAAGGUAGUAUGAAUUCUCCUUACCGAUUGCUGCCGGAUCAACGAAUAAUCAAGCUGAGUAUCAAGCUCUAAUCAAAGGGUUGGAGUUGUUAAAAGAAGUUCAUGCUGAUGCUGUCGAGAUCUUCGGGGAUUCCAUGCUGGUUAUAAAUCAAUUAGCUAGGAUUUAUGAAUGCCAAAGUGAAGUCCUGAUAACUUAUUACGAAAGGAGUAUGCAAUUAUUAAAGGAAUUCAAGGAUUUCCAAUUAGAACAUGUUCCUCGGUUGCAUAAUGAGGAGGCCAAACGGUUGGCUCAGCAUGCUUCGGGAUACCAGCCCAUGUUGAAUACAAUAUUGGCAGUUGGUGCUGGUGAUUGGAGAAAAGAAAUUGUUAAUUAUUUGAAGGAUCCAUCCAAGAAAGUCGAGAGACGUGUUCGGUUUCAAGCCACCAAGUAUGUGCUCCUCGGAGAUGAAUUGUAUUAUCGAACAAUUCAUGGAAUUCUUCUCAAAUGCUUGGGUGAUGAUGAAGCUAAAAGUUUGAUGGGAGAAAUCCAUGAAGGAGUAUGUGGAGCACAUCAGUCGGCAUUCAAGAUGAAGUGGAUGAUUAGGAGGAAUGGGUAUUAUUGGCCAACCAUACUUGAAGAUUGCUUUAAAUAUUUCAAGGGAUGUCAAGGGUGUCAGAAGUUUGGCAAUGUUCAAAGAGCACCCGCAUCGGCCAUGAAUCCCAUUAUUAAGCCUUGGCCGUUCCGGGGAUGGGCUAUUGAUCUAAUCGGUCAGAUUUAUCCGCCUUCUAGUAAAGGACACAAAUUCAUCUUAGUUGCUACUGAUUAUUUCACCAAGUGGGUUGAAGCAAUUCCUUUGAAGAAGGUUACAUCGGCCAAUAUGAUUGAUUUUGUGAAGGAGCAUAUUAUUUACCGAUUUGGUAUUCCUCAGACGAUUACUACCGAUCAGGGUACUAUGUUCACAUCGGGGGAGUUUGACGAGUUUGCAAUCGGUAUGGGAAUUAAAGUGUUGAAUUCUUCUCCUUAUUAUGCUCAAGCUAAAGGGCAGGCCGAGGCAUCUAACAAAGGAAUUAUCAAGCUUAUUAAAUGAAAUAUUGAAGAAAACCCUAGAAGGUGGCAUAUGUUGUUGAAUGAAGCUUUAUGGUCAUAUCGGAUGGCUUGUCAUGGAUCGACCAAAGUUUCACCUUAUCAAUUGGUGUAUGGGCACGAUGCAGUGUUACCUUGGGAGAUUAAGACUGGAUCUAGGCGACUAUCUUUUCAAAACCAAUUGACUGCCGAUGAUUAUGCUACUUUGAUGACAGACGAGUUGGAUGAUCUAGCGGAGCAUCAGUUGAAGGCUUUGAUAAGUAUAGAAGAGAAUAAGAAGAGAGUUGCCAGAUGGUAUGAUAAGAGGGUAAAACCUAAGGAGUUUGCCGAUGGAGAUUUAGUAUGGAAACUAAUUUUACCGAUCGGGACUAAAAGUUCAAAGUUCGGGAAGUGGUCUCCUAAUUGGGAAGGUCCCUAUCGAGUAAAUCGGUCGGCUCCUGGAAAUGCUUAUAUCUUAGAAACUCUCGAAGGAGUCGAAUUUCCCAGGGCAUUAAAUGGUAAAUAUCUAAAAAAAUAUUACCCAAGCAUCUGGGUCGAUGCGUAGAAGUUUAAAUGCCGAUAACAUUUCUAUCGGCUGGAUCAAACUGUGUCUGGAAGCGGACUUAAUGUUUUAAACGGGUGCCGAUAACAGUCCUAUCGGCUAGACCAAAAUGGUUAGAAUGAAGAAGCAAAGAACACCGCCGAUGAAGAGUUCAUAUGUUCAACAGCGCCUGGAUUGUUGAUAUGGCAUGCAGACGGAUCUGGUUGGCUUCUUCUAUCUCUUUCACGUCAUCAUCGGCAGAACCCUCCACUGGCUUCAGCUUCUUCUUCAUCUGCAACGUUUUGCGGCCAUGAACAUUUCGCUCUUGUUCAAGAAGUUUGAUCAUCUCAGGCAGCUGGCUUUCCUCUUGUUGAGCUUGGGACAAAGCUUCUUCUACUUGCUUGAGUUCUGCCAACAGGGCUUCUCUUUUUGCCGACAGAUCAGAGAUCUUAUGCUUCAGCGCAUCUCCUGAGGACUUCAAGAUGCCGAUGUUCUUGUGUUUCUCAUCGGCAAGGAGCUUCACUUUCAUCAUCUCCUCAGAAAGCUAAGCCUGAGCAACUCUAUCGGCAAGACGCUGGGUAGCCUUUUGGUAUUGCAGCUGACGGCUCUCUAGAUGUGCAGCUUGAAAAAGGAUUUCUUCGGCAUCGGCAGGAAUUUGGCCUCUGAGGGUCUUGAACAAGGUCUUUGCCAGGUCGGAGUCAUCAACCAGUUGGGCUGUGUCUUGAUGAAGGAGGGCUGAUAAUUCUUCUAACUUUGCCCUGAUAUCUGCCGAUGUAAUUCCGACUGCUUGAGAAGAACUUGCCUCCUCGCCUUCAUCCUCAGAGAUGUCAAUGGCAAAGGAGAAUAGGCUGUCAGGAGAAUCUUAUUCCUGAAAAGGAAGAUAAAAUAAGUUACUCUAUGAUCAAGCAUUGAUAAACGAUGCAGAUAGAGAUUGGGUAACUUACUUGCUUCAGGGCCAUCUCUCACCUCUGACUAGAUGAUGCCGAUGGAACCACGGGCUGAUCGGCUGGAAUUGCCGAUGAGACUAUGUCAGCUGGAAGAUUAACAGAAAUAAUUACAAGACGGGGAAAAUAAGUUCAUCGGCAAUGAUUUCCUAGAGAAUAUGUUACCUCAAGGAGGAACAGUACUUAUUUGGAUGGAGGAAACUACCGGUGCUAUAAUUGAACUUCCUGGAUCGGCAGUUUGCUCAUGCACGUCAGCCGAUGAGCCUUCUGGCUGAGGUUCCUCUGGCUGGGGUUCUUCUGCGUGAGGUUCUUCUUGUGGCUGAGGAGAAGGUAUCUGUUGUGUCUGAGCUUCUGGAGAAGAAGGAGAAGACUCCGCUGGGAUUGGAGAUACUGGGGGAGGAGAAGGCGUUGCCAUUCUUUGGUGCUUUGCUUGUAAUCUGGUACUUGUUGACGGUCCUUAAGUACCAAAUAUAAUCAUCAAAUAAAUAAAGAAAAGGAUCAAAAUGCAAUCAACACCUAGACUUUGGGUUUUAUCUGACAGGAUUCCACGAGUUUUGGUGUUUUUCUCUUUCUGCAGGGGGUUAUUAAGAAAUAAGGAAGAAAGGCCCACAUGUCGGGUUUACAUAGAGAUAUUAAUGUGCCGUGCAAUUUUCUAUCAUCUAGAAGAGUCCAGAAACCACGGGAACGAACGGGAGAUCGAACGGGCCCGGGGGCAGGGCGCCCGCCCUCUCCCCUUGGGCGCCCGCCCAGGUGUUUCCACCAAUCACAGAAUGGAGUACACCAUUGCAAAGAUCUCGUCGAGCUGAUCGAAAUGCAUAUAUUACUUGCUAUAUUUGGAGUUCGGAAUCAAAAGAUAUUAAUAAAAGAAGGACUCCACAUAAAAGAGCUGCGGGAUUAAUUGGGCCCAAAUCAGAUUUUGGUCCAUUAAGGCCUAUGUGCAUUUUAAUGAGAUAUGGUGGAACGUUUAGUACCACAUCGCCUGCUGAACCAAAAACGAACAGAGGAGGAGGACUAUAUAAGCAAGGCCCCUGGCCCCUAGAGAAGACAAGAAAUUAUCAUAGAGAUUGAGGGGUGCCCUCGAAGGAAAACCUCUUCUCUAAUUAAUAUUUCUUUUUAGGCUUAGCAACCAAUGUAAGUAGAAAUAGAUCUUCUAGUUUCUACUAGAUUGAGAGAGAUAGAGUGGAGGUGUGGAUCGGAGGAAGGCCGGCCUGUCGGUGUCUACUCCGAGUUGUACCUAUGGGAUCAAGUCUUCUAACCCGAGGCUUGCUUCUAAGAUUCUUCAGUAAUUCGACUUCUAAUACUAGUAAGUUCUUGUUUUAUUGUUCUUUGGUUUAUGAGUUUACUUUAAUCCUCUUCCCGUUGAGUAUUAGAGUAAUCACUUGCUAGCGUAAACGUGGUGUUUAGGCUAGGGUACUCAUAGAUAUCCCCUGACUAGCUGGACCGUGGUAGUAGCAAGGAACGUGACAUUUCCGAGUUACCUUUGCAGAUCACAUCUCGUUAGCAGGACGGGUAGGUUUAUAGGUGCGGGUCGAACAUCCUUUGUGUUGUCUAGAUUCCGUGAGCCUCCCCAAUAGAACAGUAGAUCAUCCUUAUUAAGGUUAGAACGAGACUACGGUUGCAGUCUUCUCUAUACAUCACUCACAUCGAGAAACAUUCUUUGUAGCCUAAAGGGGUACUAGCAAUAGAUUUGGUUAGUCAGAUGCACCCUUUCUCCCAGUGGUAAAAAUAUAAAUACGAUACUCUGGAAAACCUCCCGGGUGAAAUGCUCACCGAUAUCCGUGCGCUUGCGGAUCAUUUUCUAAUUGCGUUACCAAAUAUCAACAAGCAUUUCUGGCGCCGUUGCCGGGGAGAAAGACGGUUUGCUGAGAUAACUUUGAAUCUUGCUAUUAUCUUGUAUUAUACUUUUAUACUUUUAUUCUUUUAUCUUUUUAUUUUUAUCUUUAUGGAUAACUCAAAUUCCAUACCUAUUAUUAAAUUCUUUGCACCUUCGGAGACCAGCCAUAGACCAUGGGAGUCAACACGUCCUGCCCCUAAUUAUGAUCUGUGUCCGGAGUUGAUUGCAAUAGGUCAAAACCAACCCUUUUCUAUAGCUGAGGUCCUAUCUUUUAAUCAAGAAGAUAAUGCACUUUUAGCUACACCUAGGGAAUCUGUUAAUCUUUCUAUAAAUUCUGGUUUAGACCUAGCCCUACAAGACCAUGUUUUUCCUAGAUAUUUUCACAUUGGUCUUAAUCAUAUAAUUUUUGGUAGAGUCUUUCUUUCUUUAUCUAUUAGUAAACGAAGGUAUGUCUUCAUUUGUGGACAUCCUUCUUGUACUAGUCUUCAUAGAAAAAUCUUAGAGAUAGAGAAGGAAUCAUCUCCCAUACAAGGAGAGGAAGUUUCAAUAGCCGAUUUCCAAACAUUUCAAUCCCAUGAUUCGGCUAUCCAACCCAUCCUUGAGCUUAAUAUAUUCUACUAUGCUCUUUCUCUUGAACCUCCCGAUAAUCCUUUGAAUCUCUCUAGACAUCUCAUGCAUAAGAAGGAGGAUCGAGAAGAGCAACAUCGAUGGCUAGAGGGCAUUAAAAAUCCAUGUGCUAUCACAAUUGAAUGGAUAGAUAAAACAAGCUUGAGAGACAAUCCUAGAGGAAUUUUAAACAUUCAUGAAGAAUCAUCCUUGGAGUUUGAGAAUGAGAGAAACAACAGUGAACAUGGAAGUUAUUUCAUAAAUACCUCACCAAGUCCAUGCUCAUAUGCAACAUCUCCCCAAUCAAUUAGUCUCUCCAACAUUACCACAUUUGAGAUCUCCAACCCUCUCUUCUUUUCUAUUUAUAAAAACUUUAAAAGAGCGGUUGUCGAUGCAUAUGUCUAUAAUAAAUAUUGCAGAUCUCGCUGAGUUAAUCGAUGGUUUCCCAAGGACAAGCUUAGUGUCCUAAAACAAGCACUUAUCAGAUCAUAACAUGAACUUUUAAUUAUUUGCAACAUUGCCUUGUGUAUUGAGCAUAUAAAGAUAAUUGUAGAAAUAUUCCUUCGGGUAUUCGUGUCACUAACCUUUCUAGGAUUGGAGCAAGAAGAUCUGAGGAAUGACAAGCACAAGGUAUGUCCAACCAAUCAUCAUGCAAAAUUGAAUUAAAUUCAUCCAAACUUGAAUUUUGCAAAAUUCAAGCUUGGGGGAGUACUUUACAUAAAACAUCCUUUGCCAUGUUGCUAUGUUGGUUGUCCUUACCUUUGUGACAUGCUCAAUUUGUUAAAUACUAAUCACACUACUUCAUCUCCACUUAAGUAGAUCUUUAUAAGCCAUCAUGCUACCUUUGUUUAUCCUAGUAAGUGUUAGUUUGGAAGUACUGUACAUACUUCUAUUGGCUUUUAAAUUAAGCGUGGUGCUUAGGUUAAAUAGCCUCCCUUAAUCUAAUUAGACAUGGAGUCUAGUUUGGUUACUGAACUAAAAACUGCUUGAGUAGGCAUUGGUAUAUUUUGUCGGACUAACCCCUGCAGGGAAACUUUCAAUAUCAACCUGGGAAGUCCUGAGAUAAACUCACAUUGGAGACAAGGAGAGGGACACAUGAAGUUUAACAAUUUACACGAGGAAGACGUAGCUCAUAAGAGAUGAUCCAUGGAGGGUGCCACAAACACGAUGCACAACCGCUAAGAAAGGAAAGCUUCUACAAGGUGAUACUGUACCGCCACUCUUCAAGUAAGGUAACAUUCUAAGGUACUUGACUAUCACUUUUAUAAGCUUCUCCUUGGUUCUAGCAUUCACAUAAAUAAAGAGACAAACAUGUAUGAUUUAUAACACCAAAUUAACCAACCCAAUUAAUUCAACAUGAUUAGUCCUUUAAUCUUUGUUCUUAGUACUACCUUCGUGAUCCCACACUCCUAAUCAUAUAAGCUAAAAUGUUGCACAUUCAAUCUUUGGAAGAUAUAAACACAACAUAAAUAUAGAUAGAUUAUCUUUCCAUUAGGUUGAGCUAUAUGAUCUGACAAAUGUUUCAAAUCCUACACUCAUGAUCCUAUCAACUUUGUCUUGCUCACUAUGCUUAAGGUUAGAGAAGAACAAAUACACUUUUGGUUCUGUUGGUGUUUUCCACCAACAGGGCCCAUGCACUUGAUCUCUGCCUUGUCUCUAUGAACAGGUACACUUCAAACAAAACAUGGAGGAGUUUUACAACUCCCAGAUUCCACCAAGUGAAGAACCGGGAUCUACGAGCACAAAAUACAAUGGAGAUCGGACACUUAGUUUUCCAAAGGAAAUAUUGAAGAACCUCUGUGUCCGAGUUGGUACCUUGUACGCUCCAGCAAACUUCGUGGUGAUAGAGGCUGGUACUGAGGAGAGGGCACCCAUCAUCUUACGGAGGCCAUUCCUAAACACCAGAGCAGUCAUCUACGCUAAUGCUGCCAAGAUCAGUCUCUACAUCAAGGGGAAGAAGGAGACUUUCCUUCAAGAACAAGACUACACAAGCUUCAGAGCAAACCCGACAUGAACCAAGGAAGAGGACCAAUAGGAGGAACAAGAACAAGCAAAUGUGGACCGAGUCAGCUGAGAUGGUCACUGCAGCUCAAGGAGGUCAAGAUCGUCGACUCAAGUCACCUUUCUUGAUCAAGAAGGACGACCCUGAUGUUCCAAGCAUUGAGUGCACAAUCAACAGAUACUCUUUUUAGAAGACACUCUACGACACCAGAUCUGACGACUACAUAAUGGCUGCAGUCACUUAUCAGCUCCUGCAUAGAACCAUGCCCUUAUAACCAACAUACAUUCUGCUCCAGAUAAUCUUCAGGUCAUUAACAUGGGAGAAGACGAGUAUGAUCCACCCACCAUCCUUAGAAGACCGUUCCUCAACACUAUCAAAGCCAUCAUCUAUAUUGGAACCGGAGAAGUCCACAUACACUUCCCCUCUGAGAAGGUACGCCACUACUUUAAUAAUUCUAACUAUAUAGUUGAAGAUUCUAAGCAGGUCAAGACAAGAAGAAGAUAACGCAACCGCAACCAGAGGAGGCAAAUCAUCAAGGACGGAUGGGCAGACUACGAAGGAGAAGUGAUAAGGACUGAAGACAUACAGCUUGAAUACAACUAUCCUGAGGAGACCGUAGCACCGAGUCAGGUGUGGAGAGAGAAGAUAGUUAUACACGAAGAAGGGGCGCCGCCGGAACCACCGACUACGCCACCUAGCGAAUCCCAGGACGACUAAGAAAACGGAGAGUCCCGUUCGGAGGACUUAAAAAUACCGAACGCCUUGCCAAGAGGUAAACUUGGUAGUUAUCCUUUUCCAUUCAAUAGUUUGCUUAGUUAAUCAGGUUCAUGCUAUCUUGAAAAGAAAAUAAAUGUUAAAAAAUAGUAAGCCCCAUGUGAGUAUGCUCAUGACAUAAAACCCAUAAGUACAUUCACUGUGGUGGCAUGAAAAUAAAAUAAAUAAGUUUUCAUCUUACAAUAAAAAUAUAAAAAUAAUAAGUGCAUGAUCCUGCUAAAUAAGUAAUAUUGAGGAGGCUCAACAUGAUAAAGGCUAGAUAUUUAUGCUAACACUUAACCAGUUCCACAAAGCUUUGUUGUCUAUUUGAGCUCCACAGAAUUCAAGGAUCAAAGAAGACUAGCAGACGGAGGACAUCCUAAUCGCUGUCGGGGUGCUGUCGACUUUCAAAUACACCUCCAUCACCUGCUAGCUACAUCAGAAGAAAUUACGUCAAAAUUCAGCUUGGGGGAGAGCACCCCCAUUUAUCUCGCUAAGUAUUUCUACCUAUCUUUAUACUUAUAUUAUGUUAGAAUAUUAAAAUACAUAAAUUAUGAAAAACCCAAAUAAAGAUUUUGUGCUUUUAUAUAUAUAUAUCUUUGCUUAGUUUGCUAAAUAAAUAAAUAAAUAAAAUUUGCUAUAAACCCUCAUGAUAAGCUCUCUCAUGGAAAUGAUGAAUAGUUGCUCUGCUAUGACUAGUUCUUAAAAUUGAAAUCUCUCUCAAGUUUAGGCAUAACUGUAAUAAUUUAAAGCUUGCUCUAAACCUAAACUUGUGGGAAGAGUACUUGAUCUAAAGUCUAAGUCGUUAACGGAUAUGAUAUGAGAAGGAUGAGCUGCUGUUUAUCUGUUCCUAGAGAUGCUAGAAUUCUGGAGAAUUUUAUCUUUGAAAAAAUCUUUAAAAUAACACAUGAUGAGUUCCUGUAUGAUGAGAGUUUAAAAUCCUACCACAGCCAUAUAUACAUGCUUACUAGACUUUGAGCCACAUAUUUACUUUUUACUGCUUAUGAGCAUUGAGUGUGGUCAAGCUGUGUAGACCCUUAGGAGCUUGUCAUGUGUUUAAAAUCAAGAUUCACUUGCACGUUCACUAAUACAUGCUACUUCUACUCCGGAAGUACGCAUCCACAUAUAUCCACUCAUUUCCAUCUCCACAUUCACCCGAAAUUAUUCUACUCCUAAUCCGGAAGAGAAUAGCAAAAAAAUAUUUUCCUAUCCCUGUUAUUCCCUGUGAAAUAAAUGCUCCAGUUAUUUUGGUUACUACCACUUGCUACAUUCUUUCAGGAGAUGAGUGCUCUAAAAAAAGAGAAAGAGAAAAAGAAAGAAAAAAUAAUAAUAAUAAUAAUACGAGGAAAUAAAAAGGAGCAAGUGCCCGGAACCUCGAAGAAAAGAAAACGUGAGACGAGAGGUAAAAAUGGACAAGUGUCCGACAGUAGAAUUAGGGGUACAAGAUACCCACCUGAGAGGAAAGAAAAAGAAAAUAUAGAGCAUCUCAUUCUCCCCAAAAAGCUUCAAAGUACAAGAAAGGUAUGUAUCCCAUCAAAAGAGCAUAAAAAAUAGAAUUAGACUUUCACCAUCAUUAUCACCAUCAUCACCAUACACCAUUCAUUCGCCGCACAUGCACAUCUUGAUUUGACUUAUUGAUUUGUUUCUCUGGAUCCAUGGUUUGACUAUGCAAUAAAUGUCUUGUAAGUAUGUAUUAGCUGUCUCCCACCUAUGAGCUCCAGAUAUCAGAACUUUAUUAGAGUAGGGUGAGAGAGAAGGCAAUAUCACUAUGCCUCAUACCAAAAAUACCACAUACUUUGAGAGAAGGCAUAUACCAUUACUGCCUUGGUAAGGAUCCAUAAAUACCACAAAAGAGAGAUCUAAGAGAGUCAUAUAAGGAAUCUCUGAGUUUUAUUUGAAAAUCUGCAAAAACCCCAGAGCUAUAGCUGAUCAAGAAUAAGAGACAUGGCGCUUGACUUGACCGUUCUAUCUUUUAACUGCUCAAGACACAAGUGACGGUUACAAGCCCCAUGGUGAAAGGUAAAAUGAGUAAGUUUUAAGUGUUAACAGUUUAUUCUAACUCAGAGAUGAGAUCUUGAUUAAACGCAUGUGUAUUUUUAAGGCAUAAAACCACUGCAGAAACUCUUGAGUCCAUCCUUGCUCAGGGACGAGCAAGAGGUAAGCUUGGGGGAGUUGUUGACGGUCCUUAAGUACCAAAUAUAAUCAUCAAAUAAAUAAAGAAAAGGAUCCAAAUGCAAUCAACACCUAGACUUAGGGUUUUAUCUGACAGGAUUCCACGAGUUUUGGUGUUUUUCUCUUUCUGCAGGGGGUUAUCAAGAAAUAAGGAAGAAAAGCCCACAUGUCGGGUUUACAUAGAGAUAUUAAUGUGCCGGGCAAUUUUCUAUCAUCUAGAAGAGUCCAGAAACCACGGGAACGAACGGGAGAUCGAACGGGCCCGGGGGCAGGGCGCCCGCCCUCUCCCCUUGGGCGCCCGCCCAGGUGUUUCCACCAAUCACAGAAUGGAGUACACCAUUGCAAAGAUCUCGUCGAGCUGAUCGAAAUGCAUAUAUUACUUGCUAUAUUUGGAGUUCGGAAUCAAAAGAUAUUAAUAAAAGAAGGACUCCACAUAAAAGAGCUGCGGGAUUAAUUGGGCCCAAAUCAGAUUUUGGUCCAUUAAGGCCUAUGUGCAUUUUAAUGAGAUAUAGUGGAACGUUUAGUACCACAUCGCCUGCUGAACCAAAAACGCACAGAGGAGGAGGACUAUAUAAGCAAGGCCCCUGGGCCCUGGAGAAGACAAGAAAUUAUCAUAGAGAUUGAGGGGUGCCCUCGAAGGAAAACCUCUUCUGUAAUUAAUAUUUCUUUUU
Molecule: long non-coding RNA, 77578 nt
Filed under: Sorghum bicolor (sorghum)
Lineage: Eukaryota; Viridiplantae; Streptophyta; Magnoliopsida; Poales; Poaceae
Description: long non-coding RNA (SBIC_LNC010020)
Source: RNAcentral